Molecule: long non-coding RNA, 68869 nt
Filed under: Setaria viridis
Lineage: Eukaryota; Viridiplantae; Streptophyta; Magnoliopsida; Poales; Poaceae
Description: long non-coding RNA (SVIR_LNC006068)
Source: RNAcentral
CUGUUAUCUGGAUGGGAAAGAAACAAGAGUCUGUUGAGGAUGUUCCUUGUGGUAACACUGUUGCUAUGGUUGGUCUGGAUCAGUUCAUCACGAAGAAUGCUACACUCACCAAUGAGAAGGAGGUUGAUGCAUGCCCAAUCAGAGCAAUGAAGUUCUCUGUCUCCCCUGUUGUGCGCGUUGCUGUUCAGUGCAAGGUUGCCUCUGACCUACCCAAGCUCGUUGAAGGUUUGAAGCGUCUGGCAAAGUCUGAUCCUAUGGUCCUCUGUACAAUUGAAGAAUCUGGUGAGCAUAUUAUUGCUGGAGCUGGUGAGCUUCACCUUGAGAUUUGCCUGAAGGAUCUGCAGGAAGACUUCAUGGGUGGUGCUGAAAUUAUUGUUUCUCCUCCUGUUGUCUCUUUCCGUGAAACUGUUCUUGAGAAAUCCUGCCGAACAGUCAUGAGCAAGUCCCCCAACAAGCACAACCGUCUUUACAUGGAAGCCCGUCCCUUGGAAGAGGGUCUCCCUGAGGCUAUUGAUGAGGGCCGCAUUGGUCCACGUGAUGAUCCCAAGGUUCGCUCCAAGAUCCUCUCUGAGGAGUUUGGUUGGGACAAGGAUCUUGCCAAGAAGAUUUGGUGCUUUGGACCUGAGACCACUGGCCCGAACAUGGUUGUUGAUAUGUGUAAGGGAGUGCAGUACCUCAAUGAAAUCAAGGAUUCUGUUGUGGCUGGCUUCCAGUGGGCCUCAAAGGAGGGUGCACUGGCUGAGGAGAACAUGCGUGGCAUCUGCUUUGAGGUCUGUGAUGUUGUUCUUCAUGCUGAUGCAAUUCACAGGGGUGGUGGCCAGGUCAUUCCAACUGCCAGGAGGGUUAUUUAUGCUUCUCAGCUCACUGCCAAGCCAAGGCUGCUCGAGCCAGUUUACCUUGUGGAGAUCCAGGCCCCAGAAAAUGCACUUGGUGGUAUCUAUGGUGUUCUGAACCAGAAGAGAGGGCACGUGUUUGAGGAGAUGCAGAGGCCUGGUACCCCGCUCUACAACAUCAAGGCUUACCUCCCUGUCAUCGAGUCCUUUGGGUUCUCCAGCCAACUGAGGGCUGCAACCUCUGGCCAGGCGUUCCCUCAGUGUGUGUUUGACCACUGGGACAUGAUGGGCUCUGAUCCUCUGGAGGCCGGCUCCCAGGCUGCUCAGCUGGUGUUGGAUAUCCGCAAGAGGAAGGGUCUCAAGGAGCAGAUGACCCCUCUUUCUGAGUUUGAGGACAAGCUCUAAAUUUUGGUGGUUUGUGCUGCUGUUACCCAUGCUGGUUUCAUGGCCAAUUCGUCUACUGUAACUGGAACUACUUUCAUGUUUCAUUUCCUUUAGUUGUCAGAUGCAUCUGUUUUUGAACAUCAUUGGCCAUAUGGCAUUGUGCUGCUAAGACUGUAUUUUGUUAUCCGGUUGUGAUGUAACAGAUGAAAUAGAGUUCAUAUCUGUGGUUUAAGUGGUAGUAUUUGCGGUAUAAUGCUUGUUUCUACUGCCUUCUGAAAGCCUUUCUUUUGCCUAACGGUAGAGCGGAUUAACUAAGGGUGUUGUAUCAUUUGAUUCAUUUGAUCCUUCAUCAAGGAUGAAGCCAUCUCCUCAUGGGAACACAUUAUUCUACUAUUAGAAGCGAAGAUGUAACAAAUUAGUUGAAAGAGGAGCGUUGAAAGAGGAGCGAACCAUACUUUACUAUAUGGUAAGUAGCAAAUUAGUUACAAGUAGCAAAUUAGUUGAACUUUAGGAUCAUGCACGUUGAACCUUGUUAUCUAGGAUCAUCCAUGGAUCAUGCACGUUGAACCUUGCUAACUAGGAUCAUGCACGUUGACCCUUGUUAUCUAGGAUCAUCCAUGGAUCAUACACGUUGAACUUUGCUAUCUAGGAUUAUCCAUGUAUGCAUCAUGUAGUGCAUCUGUGCAUGCAAUAUUCUGUUAUCUAGGAUCAUCCAUGGAUCAUACACGUUGAACUUUGCUAUCUAGGAUUAUCCAUGUAUACAUCAUGUAGUGCAUCUGUGCAUGCAAUAUUCUGCCCUUAGCUUGGUUUUACUGCCGAUAGCUAUAUAGUGCAUUUAAAUGCUUUUCUUUUGCCCACAGCCCCAGAGGUAGAGAGGACUAACUGUUUCUGUUGCUUUUUUUUUUUACGGUCUACGGGAGAGAGUGUGUGUGUGUGUUGGGGGUGGGAGCGCCCCCACCUGAUUUUCAUUUCAUUGAGGGUCUGUUUCAGGCCAAACGCUGUGUAGAUCAAAAGGAGAUAGAGAGAGGCAGUGUACAUCUGGUUUUGUGAUUGUUUUACAUCGAAGCAAAGACAGUGCACCAGGAGUCGGUUAUCACGCGAUCCUCUAUGCGAAACCGCUCGCGCCAAAGUCGGGCUUCGUCUCGGCAUGCCGACCAGAAGCGUUGUUGAGAUGGAGCGCAGCGCUGGAACACUGGGUCAUUCCGGUGCUUCCAUAACACCCACGGCAGAAGGAGUUUUUUCUUGCUUUGCCUUUAGCUUGGCUUUAAUCCUGUUAGCUAUGCCUAUGUAGAGCAUUUGGUCCUUCGAAUUUUAAAUCGAUGUUGAUUUUGAUUGCAUGCCGUCAUUUUGGGUUGGUUCCAACUAUGUUUUUAAUAUCAGUCGUUCUGAAGGUUACUCUGUUGACACUUGAUUGCAUAACCGUUUGCUAGUUUUGCGUGCAUCCGCGUGCUGGUUCGUCUCAUCAAGAACUAGCCGUUGCUCAAAACUCUGGCUUUCAGGCAUGGCCGCAACAGCCUGGAGGAUGUGUUGCUGUUCUGUAGCUGUAGUGUGCGUCUGUGCUAGUGGAUGCAGGGAGCCAGCGACCUAAAAGGAAUCGUGUAUUAGUGGAUGCAGGACAUCGGCCGUGGCGGCCUGGGGGAGACGACCACGCUCGACAUGAACGGCAGUAAGUUCAAUGGCACGAUCCCGGCGUCGCUUACCGGCCUAUGGAGCCUCCAGUAUCUAGAUGUGAGCGGCAACCGCUUCACCGGCACCAUCCCAGCGUUGCUAUCUGGACUCCGGAACCUCCAGCUUCUCGGCCUGAAUGACAACCUCUUCACCGGCACCAUCCCGGCGGACCUCGGCGAGCUGGCGAGCCUUCACAUGCUGUAUCUGGCAAACAACCAGUUCGAUGCAGGCCAGCUGCCGUCGUCGUUCAAGAACCUGACCAACCUGGUCAGCCUCUGGGCGUCGCAGUGCAACCUCGUCGGAGAGUUCCCGAACUUUCUUUGGAGCCUGAAGGAGCUGCAACUAUUGAAUCUGUACACGAACAACCUCACCGGCAACUUGGUGGUUGAUGGCCUUGUUGCGAGGAACUUGACAGUAAUCGACGUCUCGGAGAACAAGAUCACUGGAGUUAUCCCGAGUGUUUGGGAGCUUGGAGAACCUCAGAGACUUGAACUUCUUCAUGAACAACUUCUCCAGCGAGAUACCAGCCAGCAUCGGCCGGUUGCCCUCACUGACGAGGUUGAGGCUCCACACCAACAUGCUUAACGGCACGCUCCCACCGGAGCUCGGAAAGCAAUCGCCGGGCUUGAAUUAUGUUGAGGUUGAUUACAAUGAGCUCACCGCCGAGAUCCCGGAAGGGCUGUGCACUGGAGACAACCUCCAGCACCUCACCGCCAAGAGCAACCAAUUGAACGGCUCCAUCCCAGCAGGCCUUGCCAACUGCGCCACUCUUGGAACCCUGUCGCUGGACAACAACCAACUCUCUGGCGACGUACCAGAGGCUCUGUGGACGGCGACGAAGCUUUACCAGAGGCUCUUCCGGCCACGGUGCAUCUCAACCUUUCGACGAUACUCAUAGGGAACAACCAAUUUGGUGGCAACAUUCCGGCUGCACUAGCUGCGCUCCAGGUGUUCACCGCCGAGAACAACCGGUUUUCUGGUGCGAUACCGGCGAGUCUUGGCGACGGCAUGCCGCUGCUGCAAAGACUGAACUUAUCCGGUAACCAACUGUCCGACGGGAUCCCCAGAAGCGUUGCUAAGCUAAGCCAGCUGACGGAAAUGGACCUGAGCAGGAAUCAGCUCACCGGAGGCAUACCGGUAGAGCUCGGCGCCAUGCCGGUGUUAAGUGUCCUUAACCUGUCGUCGAACAAGCUCUCCGGCAACGUGCCGCAGGCGCUUGCGAAGCCGACACUCACCGCCCUAACCUGUCCUCGAACCAUCAGACCGGCCAGGUCCCGGCCGGGUUCGCCACCGCGGUCUACGACACCAGCUUCCUCAACAACCCCGGCCUCUGCACCGCCGCUUGGGGACCUGGCUACCUCACGGGCGUACGCUCCUGCGCCGGUGGAUCACAAGACGGCGGUUCCUCCGGAGGCGUGUCGCACGCCCUGCGCAGGGGAACCUCGCCGUGGCGUUCGCCUUCUUCGUCGUCCGCGACAUCAAGAAACGGCGGCGCGUCGCGGAGCAAGACAACUGGAAGAUCACGCCUUUCGUCAAAGAUCUGGGAUUCGGUGAGGCACCCAUACUCCGGGGGCUGACGGAGGAGAACCUCGUCGGGCGCGGGGGAUCGGGGCGCGUGUACCGCGUCGCCUACACCAACCGGCUUAACGGCCGAGCCGGCGCGGUGGCCGUAAAGCAAAUACGGACCGCCGGGAAGCUCGACCAGAAGCUGGAACGCGAAUUCGCGUCAGAGGCUGGCAUCAUCGGCAACCUCCGGCACAACAACAUCGUCAAGCUCUUGUGUUGCCGCUCCAGCGCCGAGUCCAAGCUCCUCGUGUACGACUAUGGACAACGGCAUCCUGGACAGGUGGCUCCACGGCGACGCCCUCGUCGCCGGCGGGCGCCCCAUGGCGAGGGCGCGGUCCGCGCGGCGCGAGCCGCUGGACUGGCCGGCGAGGCUCAGGGUGGCCGUCGACGCCGCGCAGGGGCUGUGCUACAUGCACCACGAGUACGAGCCGCCCAUCGUCCACCGCGACGUCAAGACGAGCAACAUCCUGCUGGACUCGGAGUUCCGGGCCAAGAUCGCCGACUUCGGGCUGGCCACAGGAUGCUGCUGCAGGCCGGGGCGCCGGAAACGAUGUCCGCCGUCGCUGGCUCGUUCGGCUACAUGGCUCCUGGUAAGGAUUCGAACUUGCUGCUUUCAGUGAAUUUCUGUCCCAUUUCUACAAAUGCCACGUGUUCUCGUGUUGCCGGACCUUAGAUUGGGCCUUUUGAUGCUUAUCUGCAGAGUGUGCUUACACCAAGAAGGUGAACGAGAAGGUAGACAGCUUCGGUGUCAUUCUCCUGGAGCUCACCACCGGAAAGGAGGCCAACAACGGCGGCGAGCACGGCUGCCUGGCGGACUGGGCACGGCGCCACUACCAAUCAGGAGGGAGCAUCGCCGACGCCACAGACAAGAGCAUCAGAUACGACGGGUACUCUGACGAGAUCCAGGUUGUCUUCAGGCUCGGCGUGCUCUGCACCGCCGAUAUGCCGUCGUCGCGGCCAACCAUGAACGACGUGCUGCAGAUCUUGGUCAAGUGCAGCGAGCAGACGUACCACAAGGGCAAGACGGAGCGUGGCCCAGAGUAUGAGGUGGCUCUUCUACCCAAACGCGGCAGUCGCCGGAAACAGCUUUCAAACGGCUCGGGGAUUUACAUCGAAGAGAAGAUGACAGCAUUGUCUGAAGAAAGGAACUGACCACUGCAUAUGCCAGUAAGCAGCUUGUGACAUCGUCAGUGAACUGCUUGCUAUAGUGAUACUUCACAUUUUAGCAGAGUACAGCGGAGAAUUAUGCCUCUAAUCUUUUUUUUUCUGAGGAGCUAAGUAUCUUUAUAUUAAAAAGAGAAUAUAAAUAGAAAAAAUCAGUCCAUUGGAAGCAACCACUCUAGCUCACCUAGGAGAAUAGAGAGAUUGCAUAAACAAGCGAAGAAAAAACCGUCACCAGACCUUGACCCUGCACGGCUGGACUAGGGACAUGCAUAGUAUAGAGCAGGGCUUGUGGUUAGCCAAACCGUUCUGUGUAUUGAUACUGCAAAUCUGUAUUAAAUCACACACACAUUAUACGUUCCGACAGAAGAACUAGCAAACAUUACGAUUAUACUCCCUCCGUUCUUAAAUAUAUAACGCUAUUGACUUUUUCAUUUGUUUGACUAUUCAUCUUUUCUACAAAUAUUUUUGCAAAUAGAUAAAUCUACGAGUUAAAUCUAAAGUACAUUUCACAAUAGUCAUAAUGAUACACAUUUUACUUUAGUUAACUAACUCAUUCAAUAGAUAUUGAUGGUCAAAGUUGGAGUAAAAAGCCAACAGCAUCAUAUAUUUAAGAAUGGAGGGAGUAAUUUAUUUCUGAAAUAAAGGCAGGAGAUGGAGCUCUGCUUAUCCAUUCAGAAAUUAGUACGAUUGAAUGAUUUUGUCUCCUUCCAGUUUUUAUUGUAAAACACAGAAUAUUACACGGAUAGGCACUGAUUGUUAUCCGGAAGAAAAUGAAUUUUUAUAUUUCAAAAGAAAAGGCCCAAUUUGCACCCUCUAGCUAGCACGAUAAUCCAAUUUUCAGCUAAACUGACCAUGGGCCGGCCCAAAGGCACAGGAAUUUGGCCCGGUCUAGGCAUGGCGGCCGUCGUGCUCGUGCUAACCCGACCCACACCAUGGGCCGUGCUUGGGCCGUUGCCUCAGCCCACGUACUGGUCCGGCACGGCCUGCCCAUUUGGCCCGUCGGGAUUAAGUGGGCGGCCCAUCCUAUUAAGGCCCACUCGACCGCAUAUAAAACCCCCCACCCCCAAACGGCCAAACCCUACCUUCCUCUUCGUGUCCCGCGCCCUUCGCCGCCGUCACCUCCCCCGCGCCCUUCGCCGCCUCUCGCGCCCGCCGGCCGCUCACGCCCUCCGCCGCUUCCCCCCGCCGCCUCCCUCACGCCCUCCGCCGCAUCCUCCCACCGCCUCCCUCGUGCCCUCCGCCACCUCCCGCGCCCGCCGGCCUCUCGCUCCCCUGCCACCUCCCCCGCGGCCCUCUGCCGCCUCCUACACCCGCCGGUCCCUUGCCGCAAUUGGGGAAGAUGGUGGCCUGCACGGCGGCGCGCGCAAACGUCCUGUCGUCCCUCGGCGGUGGGAGCUGCGGCACGAGUGGGCGCCUGGGCAGAUCCGGGAAAGGUCUAUGGGCGCCCUGACGACGAGGUGGUCGAAGUCAUCGGGGCUAUCGAACUCGACGACGACAGGCGCUACGGGCGUAUGAGCAGAGGAAGGGUGAAUUCUGUGCCGCAGGCUGGCACGAGCACGGUGAGGCCGUUAAGGCCUGCCAGGCCAGCGUGCCAGCACGGCCCACCUAAGAAGGCUGCGGGUCAUGCCUGGACCGCUCCUUCGGCACAUGGGCCGGCACGGCCUGGCACUAUUACCGUGCAAGCCUAACCGUGCCGGGCCUAACCGUGCCAGGCCAAAUCGUGCUCGUGCCAGGCCGGGUUGGGCUACCUGUUUGGCCAUCUAUACAUCCAACGGUUGAAACCAGAUAAAUUUUAUCCUUUAGCUGGUUUCAAAGAUGUUUUUUUGUUUUAUUAGACAUUUAAAAAAAAUCUGAUUUAAUCUUGUUGGGGGGAAAUAUUAACGAUCCCCUAAAUACCACUUAAAGGAGCAGACGCGAAGGCCCGGGCCCACCUAAGCAUAAUCAAAACUCCGCCUCGCCCGACCGCGGCCUCAGGGUCAGGAACGCCCGACCCCCCUCCACGAGGUUUCCGCCUCGUCCGACUGCGGCCCCAGGGUCGAAGGCGCCCGAUCCCUCGCCACAAGGUUCCGCCUCGUCCGACCCCAAGCGCAGGGGUCGGGCUCGCUGGGGCCCCCAGGGCAGGCAUCCCCCUCGGAUGUGGACCAGGUGGGCAAGAUAAACAAAUCUUGCGGGUCCCCCCCCCCAUCGGCCUCGUCAUAAAUGCGCUGCGGGCCUGGCAGAGGGAGGAAUGACCACGCUCCUCACACAACCCGCCGCAAGUACCCAUGCACGACCAUACUGUACAAGCUACAGCGCUGGCGGCUCACUCCCAUUCGCCGCAGGGUACUCAUGGCCUGCGCCGACCGGAGCGGAGGAGAGACUCGCCUGUCCUCGAGCCCCGCGCACCCUCGGGUCCCGUGCGCCUGGCAUCUAGGAUGUGACGCCCUCUCUCCAGGAGCCAUCAUCAGAAUGGCAGCAUCCACCGUCCUCCCCAACGGACACCGGGAUAACGACGAAACGCCCUCAUCAUAACCCGACGCCUACGGAUGCCGAAGGAGCUAUCUGUAGGGUGCAACGACAGUUGGCGCACGGCCGCCUCCCCCUCCGGCAUGCACGCCGGCGCUCGCCAGGAGCCGGCGGAGGCGUCGGGCGUCUAGGAACUUGUUCCUCCCAUCCUGCCGUAUUUUUUACCGUACUACGUUCACAUUUUACGGUCCUCUUCGCCCGAUCCCAACUGUAACUCUGGCCACUCCCCUUGCGAUAUAAAAGGAGGAACACAGGGCCGGAGGGGGGGAUCGGCUUCUUCCCCCUCAAGCCACAGCAUGCUAGUACGCUCCCUGAGAACAUAGGCUCAAAGAGACUUGGGACCAGUCCCUCUCUCGUCGGUCUGUAACCCCUACUACAGAACCCCGCGUGGGCAAUACGAGCAUCCACGAUACUGGACGUAGGGCUCCCUUUGCUCGAACCAGUCUAAUCCGUGUCUCCCACGCCACCAUCUGAGGCCUUACGCGCAUAAAAGAAAUUUACUAGUCUAAGUCUUGAUCCGCCAAUCUUGACAACGACAGUUGGCGCGCUAGGUAGGGGACCUUUGCGCAUACCCUCCCAGCCUCAGAUGGCCAAUUACGAUAGUAGCUUUGCUCCGGGCUCCCUGAUCCGAUUCGGGAGCCUGGACUUCCUCGCCACCGGGGAAGGGAUCAAGCUGAUCCCUGUCCUCAUCCUGCCCGCUCGCCCGCCUGCCCCCGGCCCCGCCGCCGGGACAGCGGUGAGCGGCCGCUCGCAUACCGGAAGGACCUCGCCAGGGGGACGGCCCUUCGGGCUACGCAAUGCCACGGGGGCCUACGGACGCCUCCUAGCGCGGUCCAUGACCGCGUCGCCCGCGAGCAACGAGCUCGUAGGUGCGACAAGGACGAUCUCCGACACCGGCUCCAGCAGCGGGAGCCCCCACCCCUCGCGUGAGUGCCUCGUGGUCGACGAGCACUCUGAGGGAUCCAACAGCAACGAUGCCGAGGAGAGACAAAGGGCUGCCCCUCGCGCGCCGCGGCUAUGACCGGAGCCUUACCAAGGGCACCAGAGUGCUCUCAGCAACGAGAGGCGCGCGCGGGCGCCCGCCAAGAAGUCGAGCACCCCCACCACGAGGGAGGAGCGCGACAACGGGCGCGAGACGUCCAGCGACGCAUCUGCGCGGAUGAAGAGCGUCCGCAGCUUUUCGCCCGCGCCAGCCAAAACGUCGCAGCCGCGGCGGUGUUGCUCCGACAGCUCCCCGAACCAGCGAUGCCCGAGGAGCGACGGGCACGCCAAGAGAUGCGCGACCUGCUCGAAUGCGCCGCCGUCCAGCAGGCGGAAAGCUCCGCGUCCCGGCGACGCGGGCAGAAUGCCAGCAGGGCGACGCCCGACGCGCCCCCGGAAAGGCGGGGGGAAUCAGUCCAUCUACCCCCUCCUGGGGCGAAUCAGGCCGCGUCCGCCCGACGGACUCCACCACCCGCGGGAGGCGAGGCUCGAUCCGUCCACCAGCGCGUCGGCCUCGUCCGCGACGCCCGCGACACCCUAAACGCGCGGAGACGCUCCCGCGCGGACAGGGAGGACGGGGUAGAUCGAGGCUACCACGUCCACCGUGGCGGGCGCUACGACAGCGGGGAAGACCGCAGCCUGAGCCCCGGUCCGGCUGGGCCCCGGGCCUUCUGUGCGCGCAUCCUGAACGCGCCUUUUCCGCCGCGCUUCAGGCAACCCAUGAGUAUAGCCAAAUACUCAGGGGAGACGAAUCCUGGAGUGUGGCUCAGCGAUUACCGGCUUGCAUGUCAAGCCGGCGGGGCGGAUGAUGACCUGUUUAUCAUCCGCAACCUACCCCUCUUCCUAGCCGACUCAACGCGAGCUUGGCUAGAACAUAUCCCUUCGGGACGAGUUCGCAACUGGAAUGACCUGAAGGAGGUUUUCAUAGGGAACUUCCAGGGCACGUACACACGCCCCGACAAUUCCUGGGACCUCCGGAGCUGUCGUCAGGGGGCGGACGAGUCCCUCCGAGAUUAUAGCCGGCGCUUCUCCAGGAAGCGCACCGAGCUCUCCAACGUCGCGGACGCCGAUGUCAUAGGAGCUUUCCUAGCAGGAACCUCCUGCCGGCCCCUCGUCCACGAGCUGGGGUGCCGAGGCCCGCGAACCACGGAGGAGCUCCUCAAUAUCGCCACUAGUUACGCCUCGGGCGAAGAGGCCGUUGGAGCAAUCUUCGACCGCUCCAAAGGCAAGGCGAAACGGGAGGAGGUUGCUGGCGAAGGCACCUCCAACCGCCAGCAGAAGAAGAAGGGCAAGUUACGGCGCGAGGCCCCCCUCGUGGCCGCAGCUGAGCGCAAGCGAGGGCCGCCGCCCCCCGAGGGCGCUCCCGGCUUCUUCGACAAGUUGCUUGAGGGACCGUGCCCGAACCACGAGUUCCCCGUGAAGCACGCCUACAAAGACUGCAACCUCAUGAAGAGAUACUUCAUGGGCAAUUCGGUGAAAGGCGACCGGAAGCGGAAGCCCGAUGAGGAAAAGAAGGGCGACGAAGAGAAGGAAGACGGCUUCCCCAAGGUGGACGGCUGCUUCAUGAUCUUCGGGGGCUCUGCGGCAUACGACACCAAGCGCCAGUAGAAGCUGGAGCGCCGGGAGGUCUACGCGGCCGAGCCAGCGACUCCGGCCUUCCUGGACUGGUCAGGGCCGGCCAUCACCUUCGACAGGACCGACCACCCUGGACGCGUCCGGCACCCGGGGCGUUACCCUCUCGUCGUCGACCCCAUCGUCGGCACGACGCGCCUCACCAAGGUGCUCAUGGACGGAGGCAGCAGCCUCAACAUCCUCUACGCCGAGACCCUCGACGCUAUGGGGAUCGACCGUUCCCGCCUCCAUCCCAGCAAGGCGCAUUUCCAUGGCGUCGUGCCAGGGAAGCAGGCGAUGCCUCUCGGGCAAAUCGACCUGCGCGUUACGUUCGGGACCCCUUCCAACUACAGGAAGGAGGUCCUCACAUUCGAGGUGGUGGGGUUCCGCGGAACCUACCACGCCAUCUUGGGACGGCCUUGCUACGCAAAGUUCAUGGCUAUCCCCAACUACACCUACCUCAAGCUCAAGCUGCCGGGGCCCAACGGGGUCAUCACCGUCGGCACGACCUUUCAGAAGGCGUACGAGUGCGACGUAGAGUGCUGCGAGUACGCCGCGGCCAUCACCGUCACGAGCGAUUCGGCAGUCCAGCUUGCGGAGGCCACCGAGGACCGGCCCGACUCCAGGCAGCCGAACAUCUCCUUCGAGCCCGCUGAAGGUAUCAAGGAGGUCCCCCUUGAUCCCGGUUGUUCCAACGGAGGAGUCGUGCGGAUCAGCGCGGCCCUAUCCCCCAAAUAGGAAAGCGCGCUCGUUGACUUCCUCCGCGCGAACAGCGACGUCUUCGCGUGGAAGCCAUCGGACAUGCCAGGCAUUCCGAGGGAAGUCGCCGAGCACUCCUUGAACAUCAGGGCCGGUUCCAAGCCAGUAAAGCAAGGAUUGCGCCGUUUCGACGAGGAAAGGCGCAAGGCCAUCGGCGAAGAGCUCCAGAAGCUUCUGGCGGCCGGGUUCAUCAAGGAAGUGCACCACCCCGAGUGGCUAGCUAAUCCUGUCCUUGUACCAAAAAAGAAUGGGAAAUGGAGGAUGUGUGUCGAUUAUAACGGUCUCAACAAAGCGUGUCCAAAGGACCCGUUUCCUUUGCCACGCAUAGAUCAAAUAGUCGACUCAACUGCCGGGUGCGAGACCCUCAGCUUCCUCGACGCAUAUUCCGGCUACCAUCAGAUCGCGAUGAAAGAGGCCGACCAGCUCGCUACCUCCUUCAUCACCCCCUUCGGUCCCUACUGCUACGUUAAGAUGCCAUUCGGCCUCAAAAACGUGGGGGCUACCUUCCAGCGAUGCAUGCUGUAGUGCUUCGGAGACCUCAUUGGGCGGACCGUUGAGGCCUACGUUGACGACAUCGUCGUAAAAUCCCGGAGGGGCGACCAGCUCGUUCCCGUCCUUGAACUAGCCUUCGAGAGGCUGAGGGAUAAGCGUAUUAAGCUCAAUCCCAAGAAAUGUGUGUUCGGAGUCCCAAGGGGCAUGCUGUUAGGCUUCAUCGUCUCCGUGCGCGUCAUCGAAGCAAACCCGGAGAAGAUAGCGGCCAUUAGAGACAUGGGGCCGAUCCGGAACAUAAAGGGAGUUCAGCGCAUCAUGGGAUGCUUGGCAGCUCUAAGCCGCUUCAUCUCGCGCCUCGGCGAGCGAGGGCUUCCUUUCUAUCGGCUCCUGAAGAAGACUGACCGUUUCGAAUGGACCAGCGAGGCCCAGGAGGCACUUGACCGACUCAAGGACCUCCUGACGAAGGCCCCGAUCCUAGUCCCGCCUACCGACGGCGAGUCCCUCCUGCUCUACGUCGCGGCGACCACCCAGGUGGUUAGCGCGGCCUUGGUGGUGGAACGAGAAGAGGAAGGACACGCUCUCAAGGUGCAACGCCCGGUGUAUUUCAUCAGCGAAGUCUUGUCCGAGUCCAAGACACGUUACCCGCAGAUCCAGAAGCUCGUCUACGCCAUCCUUAUCACAAAGAGGAAGCUGCGCCACUACUUCACCUCCCACCCGGUAACAGUCAUUUCGUCAUUCCCGUUAGGCGAAGUAAUCCGGAACCCAAAUGCUACAGGGAGAAUCGCGAAGUGGGCGCUUGAGCUCAUGGACCAGGGUAUCACCUACGUCCCCCGCACCGCCAUCAAGUCCUAGGCACUCGCCGACUUCGUGGCAGAGUGGACGGAGAUUCAAACGCCAUCGGCGCCAGAGAAGCAGGAGUAUUGGACAAUGUACUUCGACGGGUCACUGAUGAGGGCCCGCGCCGGAGCGGGUCUCGUUUUCGUCUCUCCCUUGGGCAUGCGCAUCAGGUACAUGAUCCACCUUCAUUUUCCUGCAUCUAAUAAUGUCGCCGAGUACGAAGCCCUCCUCAACGGACUCCGCAUCGCCAUCGAGCUGGGCAUCCGUCGGCUGGACAUCCGGGGCGAUUCCCAGUUGGUCGUCGAACAAGUCAUGAAGGAGUGGAGCUGCCACGACCCCAAAAUGGCAGCCUACUGCAACGAGGUCCGUAAGCUCGAAGACAAAUUCGACGAGCUAGAGCUCAACCACGUCGCAAGGCGCUUCAACGAAGCCGCCGACGAGCUGGCGAAGGCGGCAUCCGAAUGAAUGCUCGUCCCCGACGGCGUCUUCGUUAGCGACCAGUUGAAGCCCUCAAUCCGUUACCCAGAACUGCAGGGGUCGGCGAAGCACCCCCGGCCCUGGGAUCGGGACCCGAGUCAGGGGAGGUCGGCAGCGCGCCACCUGUCCGAGACCCGAGCACCAGCCCCGAGGGGGUCGACAACGCUUUGCCCAACUCGGCCCCGGGAGCCGAUCCGUCCGACCCCGGGGUCAUGGAAAUCACGGCAGAUUCCGCGGCGGGUGCCGACCCCCCGAUCGAUUGGAGAGCCCCAUACAUCGACUACCUCGUCCGCGACACGCUCCCGGCAGACAAAACGGAGGCCCGUAGGAUCGCGCGCCGCGCCAAAUCCUUCGCCAUCAUCGACCAGGAGCUCUACAAGAAAAGCCACACUGGAAUCCUCCAGCGCUGCAUCUCGAUCGAACAGGGAAAGGCGCUGAUCAAGGAUAUCCACGCCGGAGCCUGUGGUCACCACGCCGCGCCAAGGACCCUCGUUGGUAACGCCUUCCGACAAGGUUUUUACUGGCCGACCGCGGUCGCGGACGCUACCCAGGUAGUCCGCACCUGUGAAGGAUGCCAGUUCUUUGCCCGCCAGACUCACCUGCCCGCGCAGGCGUUGCAGACCAUCCCCAUCACGUGGCCAUUUGCGGUUUGGGGGCUAGAUCUCGUCGGACCCUUCAAGAAGGCACCCGGGGGCUUCACCCAUCUGCUCGUCGCCAUCGACAAGUUCUCCAAAUGGAUCGAGGCAAGACCGGUGGCGCAAAUCAGGUCCGAGCAGGUGGUCCAGUUCUUCACCGACAUCAUCCACCGCUUCGGGAUCCCGAAUUCCAUCAUCACCGACAACGGCACACAGUUCACUGGGAAGAGAUUCCUCCAGUUCUGCGACGACCACCACAUCCGAGUGGAUUGGGCGGCCGUGGCACACCCCCGCACGAACGGGAAAGUCGAGCGAGCCAAUGGCAUGAUACUCCAGGGUCUCAAGCCAUGGAUCUUCGACCGCCUUAAAAAAUUCGACGGACGGUGGGUUGCGGAGCUUCCCGCAGUCCUUUGGAGCCUGAGGACGACCCCCAGCCGGGCGACGGGCUUCACCCCGUUCUUCAUGAUCUACGGGUCAGAGGCCAUUUUGCCCACCGAUCUAGAGUACAGAUCGCCAAGGGUCAAGGCAUACGACGAACAGGGAAACCAGGCAUCAUUCGAGGACGCGCAAGAUCAACUCGAUGAAGCGCGAGACGUAGCUCUACUGCACUCGGCUAAGUACCAGCAGGCCCUACGGCGUUACCACAGCCGCAAGGUGCAAGGCUGAGCCUUCAACGUCGACGACUUGGUGCUCCGCCUCGUCCAAGACAACAGGGGUCGGCACAAGUUGACUCCCCCAUGGGAAGGCCCGUUCAUCGUCGUACAAGUUCUACGGCUGGGCACCUACAAGCUGGCAACUCCCGACGGGCAGGUUUUCAGCAACGCCUGGAACAUAGAACAGCUAAGGUGCUUUUACCCAUAGCUUUUAUUUCCAAGCCCUGCAUAAAACUUGUCUUCAAUUCCGAUAUUUCCUUUAAGCUCAGGGGUAUCCGACCCUGGCCUCGUUCCAGGGCCGCAUACCCCUCGGGGGCUACCAGUUUUGCUCCUCUGCGAAAAAAAAGAAACCCCGAGCCGUCUCGGUUCAGGCCUUUUCCUUUAAGCUCAGGGGUAUCCGACCCUAGCCUCGCUCCAGGAUCGCAUACCCCUCGGGGGCUAUCAGAGGUUCCGACCCCAGCCGCUCGGCCCUAUCUAAAAGAAACAUUUUUUCUUUUCAAACCGAACACUCCCUUUCUAGACCUUUGGGCGCAAAAAAGAGAAGGAUGCGCGAACGGUGCUCAGGCAAGUUUGAUCGGACUGCGAAAAAACCUACGCCCCAGCGGCUACGGCACCUUCGCUCAUCAAAACUUAAUGACGCACCCGACAACGCAUUCUAAACUUUCAAGCCCAAAGGAACAGCAAAGGGGAUCGGGAUCUUUCGCACAACGAAGUCAUAAACAAGCCUGUAUGGCCAUCACAAAAUAAGUUCGAAACUAACAUAAUUACAUUUUGGGCACAAGCCCGGUACAGUUAACUUGACGAGGGGUCGGCAGGAGGGAUGACCUCAUCUUCCAGGAGCUUCGCGAGGGCCUCCGCCGGCGCGGACACCGCUGCAUCAAUCCCGUCCAGCUCAGCUUCGGUGUAAUCAGCGGCGUACCCUUCACUCAUCCCGGCAAAGUUGAUGCCAGAAUAAUGGGAGCCGAAGACCCCGAAGGCUCGCCGCAUGCCGACGUGAAGCGCGUCCAUGGCGAUCUCGCGACGUCGACGGCGUACCCCAAGGACACGAGCCGGCAGAGAGCUCGACCCCUCCUCCGGAACUACGCCAAAGUCGUCACAGACGACGCGGACCGCAUCCCGCAAGGCGCCGUGCUCGCCGUGCUCCGCGUCGAGCAAACCCUUCAGCUUGGCGAUUUCGCCUGCAGGAACCACCCAGAAAAGCCCACCAAGUCAAGAACAGAACACAAAAUGUCACGGGAACGCGGGAACGGAAAAAAAAAGCCUCACCGUCGGCCCAGGCCUUCAACUCGCGCUCCCGGUCGGCUCCUUGAGACACGGCGGACUGGAGUCCCUGCACUUGCGAGCGAAGGCGACCAGUCUCCGCGCUAAGGGCUUCACGCUCCCCCCUCAGCUGUGCAAGCUCCCCGGCAUCACGACGGGCCCUCUCAGCGGCAGCUUGAAGCUCCUCGGCGUCGCGGCGGACCCUCUCAGCGACAGCUUGGAACUCCUCGUGGUCGAGGCGGGCUUUCUCGAUGACGGCUUGGAGCUUGGCCUCCGAUCACCGCGCCUCCUCCAACGCCGCCCCCUCACGCCUUUGCAGGUCCCGAAUGACCCCCUGGGCGGCAGUGACUUGCAGGGACAGGUCCCUGGUGCGCUCCCUCUCCGCGUUGAAGCGCUCCCAGAGACCCUGCUGCAGCCGAAGGAAAUCAGAUUUCCCCCGACUGCCCUCUUGGAGGGCCUGCAAAGCAACGUGCCAUUAGAAAAAAAAAAGCAAAAGGGAGGUGCUGAUCACCAACAGUAGGAGCAACAUACCUGGCUGCCAGGGAGGACGGUGUUACCCAGAACCCCCAACGCCGAAGACAGAGCCGCCUCAACGUGGGCAAGGCCGCCCUGCAUCGCCUGCCACUUGUGCCACUCAGUGGCGUCGUCCAGCGUGAAGAGAUGCCUCGGCGGGUCAUCGCGGGAUGACCAGCGAAGGACAGACCCCCUCCACGCCCUGGGAACGGAGGGAGCCGAGGCCGAGGCAGGGGCCGAUCCUGACGCUGCCGUCAAGGUCGGCACCAUUGCACUAGAAGCCGCCGAGUUUACUGACGGCCCCGGCACCUGCACGCUCGUCGCCGCCGAGGCCGCCGGCGGUAUCCCAGUGGGCCCCUCCGCCUCCGCCGCCGGAGCCACUCCCGCGGGGGUAAUUGGGGCGGAGGCCCCCGCCUCCGUCACCGUUGCCUCCGCCGCCGCGCUUUCGGGGGCAGGCGUUCCCUCCGCCACCGAUCCCGCCGCGGCUGCGGGGGCAUCCGCCCUACCUCCCGUCGCCGCCGUCUCCUCUGCCUCGUCGGCGUCGAAGUCGAUCACCUUCCCGGCCUGAGAACCCGGGGGGAUCGUGCCCUGCGCUGUAGGGGCGACUGGGGGGACCGAAGGCGGAGUAGGGUCCGCUCCCCCUCCCACGGCUGACACCGCCGUCGCUCCGCCGGCCGCCACCACAGGGGCCGCCUCCGCGGAGGGGUCCGCGGCCUCACCAGGGACCCCGCCGCUCGCCGCGGGCGGGACCGCGGUCCGCCCCCCAGAGGAGGUUGACAACCGCAACGCCUUCUUAGGCACCAGCUGCAGGGCAAGGCCACGAGGGGCGGCGCUGCAUAUCGACAAACAGACGUCAGCACAAACGAGCGUGAGAAGAGGAGAGGAACGAGGCGCAAGGAAGGCCAACUUACGUCCUUGAAGCACAAGGGCGGCGCGCGCGCUUCGACUCAGAGCCCGACGCCGACCCCGGGGCAUCUGGCAGCGGCCGCUUGUCGCCACUUCGCUGCUCUCCAGUCGCGGGCACGGCGGUGGAGGCAGUCUCUGCAGAUCUCCGAGGAGCACCCUGAGCGGACUCCUGGGGAGCGCCCCGCGCCGGCUCUGAAGUGGCGGCGGGGGCAGGCUCCGAGGACCCCCGAGGGGCGCUCCGCGCCAGCUUUGGGAAGGAGCCCCGUGUCGACCCCUGGGGGGCACCCUUCACCGACCCCUGGGGAGCGUCCCGCGCCCGCUCCUGGGAGGCACCCCGCGCCGGCCCCUGGGGGGCGUUCCGCGUCGACUCCUGGGGGGCGUCUCGUGCCGGCUCCGAAGCGGCGGCGGGGGCAGGCUCCGAAGACCCCCGAGGGGCGCUCCGUAUCGACCCCUGGGGGGCACCCCUUGCCGACCCCUGGGGAGCGUCCCGCGCUCGCUCUUGGGACACGCCCCGCGUCGGCCCCUGGGGGGCGUCCCGCGUCGUCUCCUGGGGACACGCUGUACUGGCCCCUGGGGCGCAGCCCCAGGGCCUGGUGGAGCCGAAGCCCGGGCGGGCGCCUCCUCCACUUCACCUCCCGCGGCCGUCCGCGGGGGUGCCUCACGAAUGGCGAGGGCGCCCGAUCGGAAGGAGGAAAUCAGCUCCUCCUCAUCAUCAUCUUCCUCAUCUUCAUCCUCUUCAUCAUCGUCGUCAUCAUCGUCGUCGUCGUCAUCGAACACGACCGACCCCCUCCGCCGCCGUUGGAACUCCUUAGCGGCCUUCUUCCUCUUCUUCGCCAUCUCGAUGUCCUUCCGGCGCUUCUGCGCCUCGGCGAGGAGACGGUUGUGCGUCCGCCGCUCAACAUCUUCCGGCACCGGCGGGAGCGAGUGCGCGACCCGGGUUAGCGGACCCUACAAACGCAAAGCAGCUCCACGUCAGAGUGACAAUCGCAAGACACGAAGAAAGGAGGAGGACGCCCCAACUCCUUACCAGAUCUAUGAGCCCGCAUCCGGGCGCAUCGGCGGGUGCCCGGGAAUCGGGUACUCGACGUCCUUGUCCUCCAGCGCCUCCCGAAUCCGUUGCCGGAUCUCGGAAGCGACGAGCGCACCCGUCGCCAAGGCGGUGCCCUCGGUCGGCGCGUCGGGGGUCAUGGCGGCAAGCGGUCGGAUUCAGAGCAUCAGUGGCGCCACCCGUCGGGUGUGGUACGCUCCGAUGACCCCGGCGCCGGUGAGCCCGUCCCGCUUCAGCCGCUCGAUGGCCUGCAGCAGGUCGAAGAACCGCUUCUUGUCCUUCUCCACUGGCCCGUACGCCCACACCUCCGGCGCCGCGUCGAUGGUACGGCCGGUGAAAGCCGGCAGGGGGGAGUUCGGGUAGUUCUUCACAUAGAACCACUGGUUGUGCCACCCCUUGUGGGACGCCGAGGUCUUCAUCGUCAUGUUCUCCUUGGAGCGGGUAUGACGAAGGUGGAUCCCGGCGCACCCGAUCGGCACCGGAGGUGACCGCUGCUGGCUCCCUCGCUUCUCCGUCUUCUGGUACAGGCUCACUGUGAAAAAGUAUUUCCACAGCGAGAAGUGGGGCUCAAUGCCUAGGAAUCCCUCGCACAGGGCGACGAACGCCGCAAUGUGCUGGAUCCCAUUGGGUUUGAGGUGCUGGAGCUCGAGCCCAUAGUAGUGGAGGAGCCCCCGAAAGAAGCGGCUCGAGGGAGAGGCGAACCCCCGCUCAUGGAAGUGAGCGAAGGAGACGAUGUAGCCAGAGAGAGGCUCCGGCACCUGCUCCGGGCCCGACAGCAACCACUCAGCCGCCUCCGUCUUCUCGCAGAGGAGGCCUUUUCGCACCAGGCCCUCGGCGCGCGAGGAGGUGAAAUGGGAGAUCCCCCAGGAACCCAUCGCCGGAGGAGGGAGAUCAACGGAGGUGAGAAGAAAGGGCACGGCUUGGAGCAAAGGAAACGAAGCGGGCACGGACAAACUGAACGCUAGGCUGGAGGGCGGAAAGGCUCGAAUGCAGAAGGCGGGCGGAACCGGCGCGGCGGGCUCCCGUUUUUAUAGGAAAGGUACGGGAGAAGCCAAAUCGACGCCCCGGCCGCCAUAAAUGCGGCGCCAGGUACGCCCCUGCCACGCCCGUUUCCUUUUCGAAAACCGCGCGCACGGCCGGCCGCGAAAACAUCCUAUCCUCCUCGAUUCGCGGGAUGGCGCUUCCCAUAACUCCACCUCCCGGAAGGCACGACGUCCCCCACGUUCGGCCCAGACGUCACGACCGCUCCGUUCUGGCCCAAGGCCCACCGAAAGGUAAGAAAGGGAUACGGGGCUGAAAACGCCCCUACGGCCCAUUACGGUCCAGAGGUUCGAAGGCUGGCCCACCGCGGGAUCGACAGCUGCCUCAGGAUAUCUCCCGAGCAAGGGGUGAGAAGGGACGGGUCCACUAGCGGCCAACACCCAGGCAAGCGAAAGCCAAGGGCGUCCCGACCUCACGUUCGAGUCCCGUCCGGUAUAAAGUUCAUGGUUUUUCCACGGGGAAAGGCAACGAGCCCCCGGAUUCGGCCGAACGGACCCGGGAACUAUAUGAACUGGCCGGCGGGAAAUUGUAGUACGCCACCAGCUUGGCCCGAGCCGGACCCCCCCGAACGGGGACCGGGACUCCACUCGAACCUACCUGUUCGCAGCUCAAAGCGAGCACCACGGUUCGUCCAACUAGGAUAACGUGGCACGGCUCAACCCCUCCGUCCUAGCGAACGGACGCUUGAGGGGCAACGACCAAAAGUCGACCUGGCCUCCCGACCGGUCUCCCGCAACGAGCAGGGGCUCGGGGGCUAGCAUCGCAACCAACGACCAUGCGUAUGGUCACGAUUCCCAGGCUCCCCGGCCAAACCGGGAUGAAGCAAGCGCACCAUAAACAAAAUCCACGGAGAAACGGCGAAAGAAGCCUCCGGAGGAGCACUUUUUGCUCCACCACAGGCUCGGGGGCUACUGUUGGGGGGAAAUAUUAACGAUCCCCUAAAUACCGCUUAAAGGAGCAGACGCGAAGGCCCGGGCCCACCUAAGCAUAAUCAAAACUCCGCCUCGCCCGACCGCGGCCUCAGGGUCAGGAACGCCCGACUCCCCUCCACGAGGUUUCCGCCUCGUCCGACUACGGCCCCAGGGUCGGAGGCGCCCGACCCCUCGCCACAAGGUUCCGCCUCGUCCGACCCCAAGCGCAAGGGUCGGGCUCGCUGGGGCCCCCAGGGCAGGCAUCCCCCUCGGAUGCGGACCAGGUGGGCAAGGUAAACAAAUGCUGCGGGUCCCUCCCCCGUCGGGCUCAUCAUAAAUGCGCCGCAGGCCUGGCAGAGGGAGGAAUGACCGUGCUCCUCACACAACCCGCCGCAAGUACCCAUGCACGACCAUACUCUACAAGCUACAGCGCUGGCGGCUCACUCCCAUUCGCCGCAGGGUACUCAUGGCCUGCGCCGACCGGAGCGGAGGAGAGACUCGCCUGUCCUCGGGCCCCGCGCACCCUCGGGUCCCGUGCGCCUGGCAGCUAGGAUGUGACGCCCUCUCUCCAGGAGCCAUCAUCAGAACGGCAGCAUCCACCGUCCUCCCCAACGGACACCGGGAUAACGACGAAACGCCCUCAUCAUAACCCGACGCCGACGGAUGCCGAAGGAGCUAUCUGUAGGGUGCGACGACAGUUGGCGCACGGCCGCCUCCCCCUCCGGCAUGCACGCCGGCGCUCGCCAGGAGCCGGCGGAGGCGUCGGGCGUCUAGGAACUUGUUCCUCCCAUCCUGCCGUAUUUUUUACCGUACUACGUUCACAUUUUACGGUCCUCUUCGCCCGAUCCCAACUGUAACUCUGGCCACUCCCCUUGCGAUAUAAAAGGAGGAAGACAGGGCCGGAGGGGGGAUCGGCUUCUUCCCCCUCAAGCCACAGCACGCUAGUACGCUCCCUGAGAACAUAGGCACAAAGAGACUUGGGACCAGUCCCUCUCUCGUCGGUCUGUAACCCCUACUACAGAACUCCGCGUGGGUAAUACGAGCAUUCACGAUACUGGACGUAGGGCUCCCUUUGCCCGAACCAGUCUAAUUCGUGUCUCCCACGCCACCAUCUGAGGCCUUACGCGCAUAAAAGAAAUUUACUAGUCUAAGUCUUGAUCCGCCAAUCUUGACAACGACAAAUCUAAAAAUCCAUAACUAAUUAAUUUUAAAUCAUAAAAGUUUGAAACUAUUACCCAUCAUCUUUUUCUAGAAUGUUACCUUUUAUGUUGGUUUUUUUGAGUUAUUUGCAUAUUAUUGUCCCCAUCUCUAGUGUUUUAUUGCUUGUAGUCAAACCUACUAUUUAUUUAUUGUUGUUUUGCAUUGUAUGAUUAUUGGAUGCUAUGCGAUACAAAGAUAAUUGUUCAACAACCAUAUGCAUCAUGAAGAAAUUUCCGGAUACGAUUGAUAUUAGUACAUUAUUAACUUCUUAUCAAGAAAUAUCAAUGAAGUGUUUUAUAUGAAUAUUUUUAAUGCACCUUGAGUUUUUGGAUAACCUUUUUCAUAAAAGUUAAUUAGAUGCAUUCUUAACUAAAUAAGCCAUUUGGUAAUUUUUCAAAAAUGUUUAUUUAGGUAACAGAAAAUUUAUUUAUUUAUUCUGGAAAAAGUUUUUUUUUAACGAAGUUAGCAAGGAAAGCACCUACCUAUUCUUUAAUUGUUAUUUUAGAUCCGUUUAAUUCGCUCCCACGAGAAGUUGAAUAUAGACCUGCAGGAUGUUACUCAGGUGCUCUAACCACUAGACUAGAGUCCCUUUCGCUUCUGAAAAAGGUUUUACAAAAAUCUUUUCCCUAUUAUCUUUUGUUAAGUCUGGGAUGUUGCCGCACGUGGGAAAGAAAGAACGGGAAACAUAGACCGAGACCGCUGCUGCGCCGCCACCAUGCUUCGCCGUUGGAGGGUUAGGGUUCGGGGUUUCGGGUUAUGGGUCAUCGAUGGCGCGGCUAUCUCCGAUGUGGCUGGGAUAUAUGGGAGGUUGACGGUGGCUAGGUAGCAGGCGGUGGUGGCGGGUUGUGUGCGGGAUGGCGGGACACCACCAGUUCCGAUUUGUGGAAGACAAUAGGUGGCCUCUAGAGGCAGCGGGGGAAUCUUGGUGAGCUUCCCGCGCGGGGCUGGGUUAGGGCGGCGAAGGAUGGUGGCGGUGGAUGUGGCAGCGCGAGCCGCCGGAGAUGAUGGAGGAUGGCGGCGCGGGCGCGAGCAAAGGAGGACAGUGCGAUGGUGAUCGAGGGUUGCGACCGGCGACGCCGGAUGCAGUGGCGAGAGCCGUCGGAGCUAGAGGAGGAGGGCAGCGCGGGGGCAUGGGCGUGCGCGCUCCUGGGCUGCCAUCACUGAAGGUGACAUUGGUGAUUUUUGUCACCUUCUGUGAUAUAUAGAUAUAGACAUGCUCUAGAUAGAGGACUCCUUGGAGAGACCCCGAGAAUGGAGAUGGGCAUUUGGAGCUCUUCCAAAAUAAGGAAUCUAGAGGACUUGCUAGAAUGCAUUUUUUUUGACUUGGUCCAUUGGAGUUGUUCUAAGCCAACAACUAUUAGCAUCCUUUUAGAUAACUCUGUUAAUCUGAAAUACAACAGUUUCCUACUUUAUGUAUAAUGAGUGUCAUUGCGUCACUACGUACGAGGUCUACUUUAUGGCGGAUCUGAAGGUGUGUUUGGUUGGGAUGUGGCUUUUGGAAAAGCUACUGUGAGCUGUGGGCUGUGAAAAAGUAGCGGGGAGAAAGCAGCUGUGGGAAAAGCAGAAGACCGUUUGGUUAGAGCAGCUACGAAACUGUAGGUUGUGUAAGAAAUACCUGUAAUGCCCCUAAAGGUCUGCGGGUGUGUUUACAUGCAAAUUGCUCAUAACAAAAUAAUGUGUUCACUAAUUCACAUGUAAAUGACUAUUUUAGAAAGGAAAAAAAAUAAAUUUUAUAUGUUCUUCAUCCAUAUAAGUGAUUGGUCCACAUAAAUAGAACAAUAUCCAUCAAAAGGUUUAUACAAUGAUGUCAUCUCUCAACAUUACUGUCCUCCUCUCGCACUAACCAAAGCAUCAACUAUCCUAGCAUGAAUGAUAUUCAUGGUAUCCUCAUUCUCCAUAUCGUCACUCUCAUCUCCUUGUGUUUGUCUCGUGCCACUUGUAUAUUGUACCAAGUACUCCUACAAAACCGAGUUAGUAAGGUACAUAAUAAUACACGUAUUUCUAACUUGAUGAAGGAAUCAUGUAUACCUUUAGGAGGCACGAGAAAUAUGUCUCAAAGCAUUGUCGAGAAAAUUGAAAGAAAAGAUGAUGAACAAAGGAGGGUCAAUUCUUGUUGCUCUUUGGACUAGAGGAUUGACGAUGAUCAUUGCAGUCCUAACAAUUCUCUUGUUGCAGAACAGAGUAGCAACUUCUGAGUAGCAUAUGAUUCUUACAUCUUCCAGGCGAGGUGGCUAGUGUGCUGGAUGAAGUUGAGGUCCCUUGGCAACCUGGCAAACGCCUCCGUCAUGUCUGCAGGCAAAAUUUCCAAAAAAAACAAGAAGAUUUCAACACCACCAACAAAGCAAGCAUGUAAUCACCUGAUUAAUCAAUCAGCAAACAAUUCACAACUAGCAAUCUGUAGAAAUUAGCACGCCAUUACCGUCCUGGGUGAUGAGCGGGUAGUCGGAUGCGUUGAGGUUGACGAACCAGUCCCAGCGGCGGUGAAGGCGGAGCAGCAACGCGACGGCGUGCAGCGUGGUGGUGAGCAUGGUGGGGCCCCGGUAGGUGACGAGGUUGGGCCUGCCGACGAUCCACACGUUGCCCGCGAUCGCGUACACACCCCACCUGGACAUGAGCUCUGCCAGCCGGCAGUGCUCCUCCCCUGGACCGCAGGUAGUUGUUGGCCGGGUGGUACAGUGCCGCCAGCAGCCGCAUCGUGCGGCCCACUUCCCCUGAGGAUGCCGAGAUAAGGUAUGCGAACGAGAUCGGGUACCGCGGCGCCUCGCCGGCGGCACCGUCGAAGGCGGCCAACGAUGAGAGUGUUGACGUCGGUUUUUGACACGUGUCAGGGUCGACGUCAAGAGGAGAAGAAAGUGGCUGAUGCGGUUAAACAAGAAGCUAUGGCUAGAGAAAUCAGUCAGUAAAGCUAUAGUGUUUCAGCCGAUUAGCUAAUGAGAUAGAUGAAGACUGGCCGAUUGGAAGCUAGAAAAGCUCGGCCGAUAUGGGCCUAAAUGGGCCAAGGUGGUAACAAGAUGAAGAUAGGAUUGGCCCAUAGAGGAUUGGAUGGUGUUCGACUCCGAUACAAGUUGUAUCCGUAUGUAAAUAUUUGUUGCUUUGAAUAAGAAAUAGAAUAUUGAGUCAUAGUCGGUUAGGAAACGAGUUGUAACAGGGUAUAAAUAGGUGCCCCGUGAGGCUGGCAAAAACAUCAACAAACAUCAAUACAAAUCUACUUUUUCAUGCAACUUUACUUUCAUGUCGGCGACUUUGCCAAACCCUUUUCUUUUCACGAGUUCGUGUGAGUUGGCAGGGCUGCAUCAACGUGAUCUCCGAGCAAUUUGUAAGUUCCGCGUUUCGAGUAAUAUAUAAGCUUUAACUUUGGGCGUAUCGCUGUUGUUUUGUUUAGAUUUAUUCACUAGUUAUCGAUAUUUGCUAGAAUUAUAGGUUUUAUUCUCCGGUGGAAAGAUUGUGCCUUUGCCUGUAUUUCUCUUGCACUAAACUCAGGCGAUACCUAUUAUCGGCGGAAUGUGUGGUCGCGUGUAAAGUUGAUGUUGUCAAGUAUAUGUUAUCACUGCCGAUCUUGAAGGGAAGGAUUGGAAAAUGUAUUCUGGCACUCUCAGAAUUCGAUCUCAGGUACGAAUCGGCCAAGGCCGUCAAGGGUCAGGUAAGGCUGAUUUCGUCACCCAACACUGUGGAUCAGAAAUUACUGUCGUUGAGCCGGCUCCAUGGACUCUGUACUUCGAUGGAUAUUCGUGUGGGAUUGGAUCAGGAAUCGACAUAAUUCUUAUAUCGCCUCGGGGGGCAAGUUAUGAGUUCUCUCUGCCGAUUGAGGCUUCCGCUACUAAUAAUCAAGCAGAAAAUCGGGCUGUCUUAAAGGGCAUCCAAUUAUUGAGGGAGGUCAAGGCUGACGUGGUAGAAAUAUUUGGGGAUUCCAUGAUUAUCGUGGAUCAGUUGAUUGCAAAGUGUGAGUGCAAGGAUGAUAUUCUAAGGAUUUAUUAUGAGGAAUGCCUCCGGUUGCUCAAAGAAUUCAAGACCGUAACUAUUGAACAUAUCCCUAGGGAUUACAAUGAGGAAGCCAAUAGACUUGCCCAGCACGCUUCUGGCUACUGGCCGAUUCAUGGCGCUUUCGCUCUAGAGCUGGCGGCCGACAACUGGAGGAAGGAGAUCGCCGAUUAUUUAAAGGAUCCAUCCAAGAAAGUUGAUCGGCAGAUACGCUUCCAAGCCACAAAGUAUGUGUUACUUGAAGAUGAAUUGUUUUAUCGGACGAUUGAUGGAGUGUUUCUCAAGUGCCUUAGCAUUGAGGAAGCAAAGAUUUUGAUGGGUGAGAUUCAUGAAGGUCUAUGUGGGACCCAUCAAUCGGCUUUCAAGAUGAAGUCGAUGAUUAGAAACAAUGGGUAUUACUAGCUGACAGUACUUGAAGAUUGUUUCAAAUAUUAUAAAGGCUGUCAGGAUUGUCAAAAAUUUGGCAACGUGCAACGAGCCCCGGCCUCGGCUAUGAACCCGAUAUUAAAGCUGUGGCCAUUUAGAGGCUGGGUAAUUGAUCUCAUCGGUUAGAUCUAUCUGCCGUCAAGCAAAGGGCAUAAGUUCAUAUUGGUGGCGAUUGACUACUUCACCAAGUGGGUUGAGGCGGUUCCUUUGAAUGUUGUGAUGUCGGCCAACAUGAUCGAAUUCAUGAAGGAGCACAUCAUUUAUCGAUUUGGUAUUCCUCAGACCAUCAUGAUUGAUCAGGGGUCAAUGUUUACCUCAGGGAGUUCGAGGAGUUCACUGCCAGUAUGGGAUUAAGCUGUUGAAUUCUUCUCCGUAUUACGCUCAGGCCAAUGGUGUGACGACCCCGGUUAAAUCUUUCGAGUUAAUCUUAAUACGAGCCCCAAAAUUCCUCUGUCUCAGUUUUUCCCGAGCAGGAGUGCUCCACUCCAGUUCCUGUUCCUGACCCGUGAAGACUCUAACUCACCCCGCCAGUUCCUUUUAAGUCUCAACAACAGUGUCCCUUUCAAUCUUGAACAGAGGAAAGACCGAGACUGACGGAUGGACCCGCAAUCUUUUCCCCGGAUCUCCCGAGGCAUACGCACUCGAGCGGCCUGCACCGCUUCAGAGCUCCCCCGCCGCGUGGCUCAACUUCUCCGACGCCCGCCGCUUCACCCAAUCGCCGGCCGGGACAGGAUAGAUUCUCACGCCCUCCUCCCCAAUCGCAGCGGAAGCCCCUCUGCAACCCUUUCUGCUGCGCCUCGUCUCGCUCGCGCCCUCGCCGGCCGCGCCUUGGUGCUCCGACACCGCUGUGGCAGAGCUUUGCCGCUUGCUGCAUCCAAACUACCUCGCAGCUCACGCCCGUCAUCAUCUCACUGGAUCCCCGACUGCAAGGCCCGAUGCCUUCCGACUUUUCCACCGCCUCUACACAGUCGCGCUCGCCUGCGCAGCCGCAGCCUGCCUAUCUUUUCACCGGUUGCAACCUCGCUUGUAGCGCCGUUCUCCCUGUCACACCCAUCAGAUCCGCCGCAUGACGACGCCCGCCUCCGCCAAACCUCAACUACCGGCAAAACCGCGCCUGCGCCGCCUUGUCUCCCGUGCCCAAUAGCCAAGGACCCUAUCUCCGAAAUCCUGUUCCGCCGCCCAUCGACGCCCAGUCGCCGCCAUGGCAGCGCACUCCAUCCUUUUCUUCCGGUCUUCGUGCUACUCCAACUCCCUCUCUCUUUCGCGCAGCUAUAAAAAGGAAUGCCAGAGCCCUACUGGAGAUCCCUUCACCAUCGUUGCCUCGCCGCCUUGUUCCUGAGCGCCGCCACCUAAGUUCUUGAGGAACUCUCAUCUUCGCUCAACACCCGCCCCUCCCAAUCCACCAAGCCGCCUGCUCCUCCACGCUAUGCUAGAGCUUCCUUGUUGCUCACAAGAAGCUCCGCCGCCGCCGGAGCACCGCCGGACAUAGCCGCCACCAAAGCCUUAGUGCUUAAGACCUUCCGCCCAAGUCUACUCCUUCCCGACCCCAAAGCUUCACCUAUAAACCAAAGGUAAGCUGCCGACCCCUUACCGGUUCGCCCGACCCUACCUGUUCGCCUGACCCUACCUGUUCGCCCGACCCCUCUUUCCAUCUCGCCCGACCCUGUCUGUUAGCCGGCCCUUAUCUUCUUCGCCCGAGGACUCGGCUGUACUCUUUUCCUUGACCCGAGGGUAUCUGUGUAAGAUUUCGGGGACUUCUCUGUAAUAGCUUUGAGGACCCCAAACACAUUAAGGCUUAUGGGUCAGAUCAUAAGUUCUUCCAAUUCGACCCUUGGUCUUGUUCUCUAUCCACUGAAGCUUGAACCCCCACACUCUUUCCGUAGCUUUGCUACAAGUUUCUGGGCUAAGACUUGCGAGUGUUGCUGUUGAAAUAACCGUCUAGACACUAACUCCAGCAUUGCAUUCGUGUAGAGUUUCAUCUUGCUGACGGCGUCUACGAACUACACCCGGUGCCAGAAGACGGAGCUGUAGCUGAGCUACCAGUUCCAGAAGCCGAAGUCGCACCAGCUGAAGACCCGCUUCCCUCCCCUCCACUUGAAGGCAAGUCCCGGAGCAUGAACCCCAAAGUUUCCCAAACUUGCGCAUGCCUUCUUUCUCAUGUUUGUGCAUUUACGUAUAGGAGUUGUUUGCAACCUUAGAUGCAUGGUAUAGUUCCUUGAUCGGAACACUAGUUGUUGAAUCGAGUAGUUGCUAUGCUUAAAUAGGAAGUGGUAAAAGUCGAGUGAUUUCCUGUCACUCGCGAGUUAUAGGAGUUGGUUGUUCUCCUUCUGUUACAACUAUAAGGACGAUGGAUGGGGCAAGGUUUUGGUUAACUCUUUUGCUAGUCGGCUGAUCCCCCCGUCUGUCUAUGGAAUCUGUUAAGGCCCGAUAGUGGUGGUGUUCGUGAUCAAGUGUUUGAAAGUACUAAUCUCAUACCUAGUAUGGGAUGGGGAAGCCUAGUACCUGAUUGAACUAGGGCGUGGCUUAUACCCCUGCUGUCCCUGGAACGAGGUUCCCAUGGUGCAUCAUGUGGGUGCAAGUGCGGUCACAGUACGGUAGAGGCCGGGAUUGUGGAGCAUUGCAUGCCAAGGGAAGUUGGACCUGACACGUGCCUGGGAAUUGAUGGGGACGGCUGACACAGGAAGCGACCCUUGUGGUGCGCGGAUGUCGUGAGAUUAGGUUUGCCAUGCAUGGUUAAGAAACUCGAAGGAUUCGUCUGCCUCUCACAGUUUGAGACUGCUUGAUCGCUAUGCUACACUGAUUAAUGAAAGAGUCUGAUGAUGACAUGGUCUUGAUGAGUAGCUUAUAUACAUAAAGUUGGAUCUAUGUUUGCUUAGAGUAAGAUGCCAACGUAGACUGGUUAAUGAACUUAGAAUUUGAGCUAAAACUUGAAAGCAAGGACCUAACGUAGUAGCUUUUGGCAAACAAAACCCCUCAGCCAAAGAGCCUUGCAUGUCUAGACGUGGUGGAGUAGUUUUACCACCGGUCGGUUAAGUCUUGCUGAGCGUAGCAGCUCAACCUUGUUUGUGGCUUUCUUUUCAGGUGAAGUCGCAGCUCCUGAGUUUGCUUCCGUUGGCACUUGGCCGCCCCAGCUCCCUCCGGGUUGGACGGUUGAGUGGGAUCCUUCCUCGGACGGUGAGGAGAGGGAUCAUUGAUGUCCUGAUCGGCCUCAUUAGGGACAUCCGACCCUGGCGCUAGCUUCCGCUAAUUUAGCUUUCCGCUGCUUUUGAAUCUUGUAAAACUCUGAUUUUUGUUUUUAUGUUGAACUAAAUUGUCAAACUUGUUUAACUCAGUGGAUCUGUUGUAUUCUCUGAAACCGCUCACCUUCGUGUGAGUUUCGCUAAUCCGGUCCUGUAAGUGGUUUAAUCGGAGGAAAUCCGACGGCCCUUCGAGUUAACUUGACUAAGGCAUAAGUGUCGCGUGUCAGGCGACUUAACAAUGCUUUAAUCAAGGUAAUCCGAGGUGGUUCCACCACAAAUGGUCAGGCCAAGUCAUCAAAUAAGGGGGUUAUUAAACUGAUUAAAAGGAAGGUCAAAAAACAACCAAGACGGUGGCAUACAACGCCGAAUGAGUCCUUAUGGGCUUAUCGGAUGGCUUGCCGCGGUGCCACCAAGGUGUCCCCUUAUCAGUUAGUAUAUGUGCAUGAAGCAGUAUUACCUUGGGAGUUGAAGACUGGGUCUAGACGUGUGUCACUUCAGAAUCAGUUGUCGGUUGAUGACUAUUCCGCCCUCAUGAGGGGAGAAUUGGAAGAUUUGGCGAAUCAACAGCUAAGGGCUUUGAUCAGCAUUGAGGAAAAUAAGAAAAGAGUCACCAGGUGGUAUGACAAGAAGGUCAAGGUCAAAAGGUUUUCCCAAGGGGAUUUAGUCUGGAAGUUGGUUCUGCUGAUAGUAUGGAAAAUGGUCGCCCACUUGGGAAAGGCCAUAACGGAUUAGCCAAUGUGCUCUAGGCAAUGCAUACAUACUGGAGACUUUUGAGGAAGAAGAAUUUACAAGGGCCUUGAAUGGAAGAUAUUUGAAAAGAUACUACCCUAGUAUAUGUGUAGGCGCUUAGCCGAUGAUGUGGCAUAACGGGCUUUCACGGUCGACGCGUACUGAUUCGUGUUCAUAUAGCCGAUGCAAGGGGCAUCGCCUUAAGAUUGAAAGAGGCGAAAUAGUGUAUAUAUAACUAAACCGAUCAUUAUUCGGUACACCAACUAAAUAUAUGGCCGGCAUGAUACAAGUCGCCCUUAGAUAAAAAGUACCGACACAGUUAUGGGUUACAACGAUUUAACAACGUUUCAUGUGAGCUUUAUUCAUAUCGAUUUCUUUCUGAAGUCGAUCCAAUUCGAUCUGGAGUCGGGCGUUCUUCUCCUCUAGUUCUGCCAUGUCAUCUUCAACAGCAACUUGACAGGGUAACAGAUGGCUUCUUUCGACUGAUUGCCGUGGUUGCCUUCUAGAAGCUUUAGCCUCGAUGUCAUCCACAAUCCUCUUGAUAUUCACGGGGAGGUGAUCUCUGAGUUCCUCACGAUGAGUUUGGAUCAGGUCUUUGUCAGCCUGAGUGAGCGGUUCAUCGGAGUGGAGGAUCUCAAUGGCUCGUUCAAGAUCACGGCUGAGUCGGUUUGGCUACGAGAAGAAUUGAUGAUCAAUUGACAGAGGGAUUGGUCGAGAGAUAGGAGAUUGACUUCGUACCUGAUUGACAGAGGAGGAGGAGGCCAUCUUGGUCGCUCGAUCGAAGAUUUGUAAGCGCGCGCAAGGAAUGGUUGAGUGGGUGUUUUGCGAAUGCCUUCAGAAGGGAUGCGAAGGGUUUGUACUUAUAGAACAGAAUGGCAAUGGACAAAGGUCGGUAAAAGGAGGGCAUUUAAAGAAAGCGACCGUUGAGUCAUAAAAGCUACGUGAGGACUGUUCAGACUUGCAUUUCAGACAAAAACGCCAAAAGUAUCAACGUUACACAAGAUGUUCAAAGGCUGGUUGAGUUCGUUACAACUAUCCGAGGAGAUUGUUUAUGGUCUCAAUCGCUCGCAGGCGAACUUGGUUGGCCACCUCCAACACUCGCCGAUCAUCAUCGGCUGAUCCUAAGACUUCUGGCGCAUUGCGAUGAAGAUGGAUGGCCUCGUGAGUGAGGGAUUGUCUUUCUUGUUUAAAAUCAACGAUGGCGGUUGGAAGAUCUUCAAGUUUCUUUUCUUCGGUAGCGAUAGCCUUUACGACCAGUUCCAUCUCCUUGGUGAGCUCUGCUCUGCGCCAUUUGAGUUGGUCUAUUUCACUGAUGAUGCUUGGAUGAGAAGUCUCAUGGAGACCGAUCUACCGAUGUACGUGUUGUGCACGGUGCUUGUAGGACUCUUCUUCUUGACGCACCAUCUCCAAUUUAGCACGGUCAGCCAUGUGUCGCAAGGCUCUAAACACCGGGACCCGCAUGGUUUCGAUAUAUGCUGCGGGUGUGAGAACCUCUUCUGCGUCUUCUGGGACUUGGCCUUUGAUCUCGUUGAAAAUCCACCGUAUCAGUUUGGCAUCUUCCACCAAUCGACCGAUGUUUUCCUGAAGAAGGGUUCGCAUGUUUUGGAGCUUGGCACGGACAUCUUCUGGUAUUGAGCUCAGAGUUAUUUGGCGUGAUGCAACUUCUUCGUCAUCAGAGACCGCAAUUGCAGAGGAGAAGAGGCUUUUGUUUGGCGUGUCUUACUCCUGCAGGGAUGUGGGAAAGUGUUUUAGCCGAUAAAAGUAAAAAAUCGGCUGGUAGAUAUAGAAGGUUCUUACCUCCUUCAAACAAAUCUCUUCUGCUUGGGUUGGCAGAGUCGUUACUCCCACCUCAGAAGUUUGCGGAGGUAGCUCAUUAGAGGGGGAAGACUUGACAAUGAUCGGCUCUCUAGGCGUAGCUGAUAAUGUGCUUGGACCAGCCUCCUGGAAAAGGAACAAAGGAAUCAUUUUUGAGUAUAAAAUAAUACUGGAUCUAAGUAGAAGUCUCGGUUUUCUUACCUCUCGGACGCGCGCAGCCAACGGUAGCACCAGGGGAAUGACUGACGUAUCUGGAGCGUCCUGUGUCAAGAAUCGUCUGAUUUUAGUUAUCAGAACUGUGGAGACUAAGGGAAGAGCAUGUUCUUUACCUCAAUUUGAAGAUUUGUAGGUAACACAAUUUUAGCUUGAGAAUCGGCCAAUUAAGGAACAGUCUGCUCUAGGAUAGGUUGUACGGCCUGUUGAAAAGAAACAAAUUUAGUAUUGGUGAUACAUAUGAAGAAGUCAGAGCAGAAAGAUUACUCGUGUAGCUUUCACCAAGAGUAACACAAUCGCCGACCCAGCCUCUGAUGCUGCUAGGGGAUCAAUGUCCUGAAUUGCCGACAAUACAUCUGCUUGGAUUGGUGCGGCUGAGGGCUCGACCGAUGUUGCUGCCGAUUGGUGGGUUGUUCGAGUUGUCGUAGAUUCAGUACGAGCUCAUACCCUGCGACUCGUCUUCUUUGUGGUGGAUAUUUUGAGCUUAUGCUUCAAUCGGUUGGUGGCUAUGUCCUCCAUUGAUGGGGCGUGAUAGCCGAUGAGAGGGUACGGUGUGUACGGAUGAUGGGUCUGUAUCAGUCUGCCACUCUAACUGUGCGUUGGAGGCACUUGGCUAUCAACCUGUGCAGGGUAAAAGGAUAAUGAUAAGAAAGUUCUGCAACAUGUGAAAAUUAUUGGUAAGGAAUCGACAAAAAAGUAUUGUUACCUCUGCAUUCGGAUCAGUGUGAGCGGGGUCCAGUUGAUUGCAAUACACUGCAGGGGCCGCACAGGAAAGGUACUGUUUCCACUCGGCCCACCACAAUUUGAAUUGUUGAGUGGAGAAGGGGACCACCAGCCAAGCGCUCAGAUCGAUGGUGUCGGAAUCCGGUGUCAGAUUACACAAUCUGUUGUAUUCCAGUCCUUUUGAAAUCGGUUCUCAAAAUUUCACUCGGCCGACGAAGUGAAUCCGAUUGGUAUUUGUCCCAAGCCAAAUUGCCGAGCUGCUACCGACGGGUUAUAGAACUCAUAUGUUGGAGAGUCCUUGCCAGAGAAGAAAUUUGCCGGUAGAAUCCCAGGUUGAUCAGGGUGUCCAUGAUUCCUUCAUCGAAGGUAUCGGUAGCCUAGUCAAAACAGUCAGGAUUCUAAAAAGUUGGGUUCUCUCUCUGAUAUGGAUACCAAUUCGUCACCUCUUCUUUAAAGCUGUUGUAAAAGCAUCUAAAGUGCUCGGCUAUUCUUGAGGGGGCAAGCUUGCCGCCUGGGAAAGUGGAUACGGCUUCACUAAAGGAAGUACAGCGGCGUCUGGCCAAUGGGUCGGUUUCUGAUUUAACAUUAGGAAAGUCUUGGUCUCAAUCCGCUCCUUGAAGAUUUCGCUCAUAUAUAAGUUGAGCUAGAGAUUGACAAACCACCAAGGACCACCAGGAUUCCUGAUAGGUUCUCCAGAUGAUAGCUUCACGCCGAUGUGAUGCAGCAUGUAAUACACUGACCCUAGUAGAUGCUUUCCCAAAGGGACUGUGGCUCCUCUAACUAGUGCUUCGGCCAAAGCCUGUGUGUUGGAAGUAGGACUGGCUAAUUUACCACAGAAGACAUACCUUUCCUGCCACAUCAUCAAGAAGGUCGUGUGCUCUUUUUCUGUGUUGGGUCCGGUCCUCAUGUUCUUCUCAAUGUAGCCUUUCCAUGUGCUGAUGGCUUUCGUCUCCAGCCGAUGGGUGGGUUUGAUUAAGAAAUCGAAAGGUGAGUCGGUGGAGGAAACAUCGAGGCCAGUCAGCAUCAGAACAUCGGCCAGGGUUGGAGUCAUUGGCCCAUGGUCGAAAAGAAAUGCAUUGAGAGCAUCGGACCAAAAGUAAGAUGCCGCGAUGAGCAGAGAUUCUUUCUUUUCCAUAUGAGAUAGAGAUAAAUUUCUGCAAUGGCCGAUUUUUCGCUCAUCCCAGAAGACUCUGUUGGAAUUUGACAUUCUAAAAAACCAAUCUCUCCAUCCGGGGGUUUGAUUCGGCCAAGACUUGAAAGUGUUCGCCCAAUUGUCUAGUUCCAUGGUCGAUUGCUUAAAAGGGAUCCUGUGAGUUUCUAGUUUAAUCAGAUCGGUUGGGUUAGGAUCUCCCAUAGAGCCAAGAUCGAUGAAUCCAGGGGUGUUGGCCAUGGGAUGGUGAUUCUUUGCCUGAGUUCUUGAGCAAAUGCGAAGAAAGACUAAGAACAGAUCUAAAAUCGCGAAAAGAUGAGGAGAGCCUAGAAGACUUACCUCAGGAACGAAGGUCAUGGUAGCUAUGGGUGCCACCAUUGGAGCUUGGGAGUUGGUGCGGUCGGUGAAGGACGUGAGCAAGUCACUGGAGUGCGCUGGGAUGUGCCUAGAAGUGGCACGAGCAAGGUCGCUGGGGUGUGCCGGGAGAUGAUUCGCUGGAAAGGAAACCCUUUUCGCCCGGAGGAAGAUGAAGCGGCGGAAGAGAUGAGUAUCUGCACGAUGACUCGGGAGAAGGGUAAAUAUGAAAUUUUUACCACGCCGUCUGCGCUAAUUUCGAAAGGAGCGGUUGCCUACAGGUGCUCAGUUCGAAAAAAUGCAAUCAUCAAGGAGAAGAUUUCGGGAGCAAAGAGGGUUUUGCUGCAUUUAUUGUUGCGUCUUUUCUGAAAGAAGGAAUCAGAGUUGAGAAAAUUUCGGAGAAAAAGAUAUGUUUCACUAUGAAGCUGGGAGGCAUGUGUUGAUGCCAGUUUUUAACACGUGUCAGGGUCGGUGUCAAGAGGAGAAGAAAGUGGCCAAUGCGGUUAAACAAGAGGCCAUGGCUAGAGAAAUCGGUCAGUAAAGCUAUAGUGUUCUGACCGAUUAGCUGAUGAGAUAGAUGAAGACUCACCGAUUGGAAGCCAGAACGCUGGAUUUUGACACGUACUUGAAAUCGGUGUCAAAGAAGGAGAAAGGGGGGCCGAUGCGGCGGACUAGAAGCUACAGUUGGGAAUCGGCCGAUUGAAGCUACAAUGUUUCAGCCGAUUGGCGGAAGAAAUUGGUGGAGGCUGGCCGAUUGGGAGUCAAAGCAGUUUGGCCGGUUUGGGCCUAAGGUGGGCCAGGAUGAAUAUUUGCUGAAGAGACAGGCCCGUGGGAAAAUAAUAACCAACUCGAAUACGAGUCGUGUUUGUAACUAUUUGUUGUCGUUUGAAAUUAGAGAUAGAUUCUAGUCGGUUAGGAAAUCAGUUCCAACACGCUAUAACUAGCUACCUCGAGAGGCUUGUAAAAAAAACAACACAUCAAUCAAUACAAAAAAAAUUACUCUUUCCUCGUACUUUACUUUCAAGUCGGCGACUUCGCCAAAACCUUUUUCUUUCACGAGUUCGUACGGAUUGGCAGGGCUGGAUCUACAGGAUCUCCGGCCGAUUCUGUAAGUUCCACUUAUCGAGUAAUACUAAGCUUUAACUUCGGGCGCAUCGCUGUUAUUUUGUUUAGAUUUAUUCACCAGUUAUCGAUAUCAACUAGAGUCAUAGGUUUUACCUGUUAUUUUAGUUUUUAUCACCAAUUAUCCAUCUUGAGGUACGAACUGUCGGUUUUUAUUAUUCUUAUCCUUUAUCAUCACAUAGCCGAUUAGAUCUACUCCAAGUUUUGCUUCUGUAGUGUUGUUUAGGUUGCUGUAAAAGUUUUCCUUAUGAUUGCUACAUGAGUAUCGGCUGUCUUAUAGCCGGUCAUCUCUACGGUAAAUCGGCCGAUUCGCUGAUACGCUCUUCAAGACAGAUCGGAACUCUAGCCGAUCGAAACCCCUAGAAUUUAAUAUUCUUCUUUCCAUGUCAAUCAUUAGGUCAGAUUGACUGGCAUGCCGCGCGAACCGCACUAGGGCAAUAACUCGAACAGGAGCUAAGUAGAUUCUCCUGGGUCGUGUGUCCGACGCUGAGGGUCAUCGGCCAAUUUUCAGCACCAACACACUUUUGGCAUGCCCGGUGGGACCAAACAAGAUCCAACAUGUCGAAGGCUGCUGAGAUCUUUGAAGAUAACGUCCUUGAAGUCAUUGAAGAAAAUCUCAAGGACGAUCAGAAGGAGGAACUGGCGAGGGCUAUAGAAGAAUACAGGAAGACAUGCCUGCAAUCUUUCAUUCGUACCAGAAGCGGGGAGACAGUCAAGAAAGCUCCUCUCUCCACUUCCCGCCAAAUCACCGUCAUCGAGGACUCAGGGAAGAUGUCUGAGAUGAUUCAACAGUCCGUUUAUCAGGCUAUGAUUGACCAAUCCACGGUGAUGACCAACACUGUAUACAACGCCAUCAUCAGCUCCUUGGUUAGCGGCGUAGCUCAGGGGUAUCAGGGACUAGCGUAUGCUCCUCCCAUCGUGGCACCGAUCAGAGGCUUCUUAGCAGCGCCAAACGUGUGUCACUCGACUCCUCAACUAAUGCAGAUGCAACGUGGAGGGUACUACACUUCAAUGCCCCUGGGGUACAAUGGUGCAUCAUUCUAUCAAUCGCAAGAACCGUCUCAUCCUAUGCCAAUUUCAUCCAUACAAUCGCCGCUCUCAAACUCGGCGCCAUGGGGGGUAGCAGCAGCAACCGCCGGUCUGGAUCCGUCAACCAGUUAUGGAAAGUCUCCAGUCCAGGCGUUAUUCCAAUCGGCCGAGGCCGAUAGCCCCGCAAUACCAAACAACCACUUCAGAUAUCGGCAGGAGGACAGGCGCUCUAGAAACACUCAGGGUUGCGGCGUCGAUAAUAUUGUACGAUGAAGUGACAGAUACACUAUGUCAGCAGCCAUCGGCUACUCAGCCGACAACCCAGCCACAAUAUCUGCAGAACACUCCAGUUUAUCACCCGAUCAUGGAACCGCAAAUCCAACAGCACGUACCGAUUCCUCAGCCGGUCGUGCAUCAGCAGCAGGUUGAUUGGACCGCGAAGAUAGCAGAGGUAAUUCAAGAUCAGUUUGUGUUAAAAGCAAAAGUACAAACUUACAUGUACAAGACGCCAUACCCACUUGCCUACGAUCUGUUACCGUUCCCUCAUCGGUACAAAGUCCUUGACUUCACCAAGUUCUCGGGCCUAGACGACACGUUGACUGUCGAGCACGUUAAUAGGUUCAUCAUCCAGUGCAGGGAGGCUGCUACGCAAGAUGCUUUGAUGGUGCGCUUGUUCUCGUCAUCCCUAUCCGGAUCAGCCUUGCAGUGGUUCACUACACUGCCGCCCAACGCCAUCGUUACCUUGGCCGAUUUGGAAAAGCAAUUCCAUAAGUACUUCUAUGCGGGAAUCCACGAGAUGAAACUCUCAGACCUAACUAGCCUCAAGCAAAGAAGCGAUGAGUCGAUGGCCAGCUACAUACAGAGGUUUAGGAAAGUUAGGAACAAGUGCUACACCUUGGUCUGGACUGACACCCAACUAGCCGAUAUCACCUUCCAAGGACUCCUGCCACACAUCAAAGAGAAGUACGCCUCCCAGGAGUUCGAAAGCUUGAGCCAAAUCGUCCAUCGGCUGUCCGGCCAAGAGAUACACCCUUUCGACCAACGAAGGAACUUUCAAAAGAAGGUAGCUUAUGUGGAAGGGUCUGAAUCGGGAGAGAAGGCGGAAAUCGGCCUAGCAGAGUCGGUAAAAGGAAAAAAGCCGAUAUCAUGCCCGUUUGGAAAAAAGGAACCAGAAACAUUCGGCUUUGACACGUCAAAAGCCGACAAAGUCUUCGACUUGCUGCUUCAAGAGGGGCAGAUCAAACUUUCGCCUUACCACACCAUUCCGUCGGCCAAGCAGCUCAAAAAGAUGAAAUACUGCAAAUGGCACAAUACCACAUCCCAAGACAAAAAUGAGUGCAAGAUCUUCCGACAAUAGAUACAAUUAGCCAUUGAGCAAGGAAGACUCAAGUUCGAGGUUCCAGCAAAACCAGUGAAGCCGAUGAAGAUUGAUCAACAUCCCUUCCCCGCCAACAUGGUCAAUGUAGGAAGAAACGCACUCCAAACCAAAGUUUUGAUGUUAGAAUUGGCCAGGAGAAGCGGUGCAGUGGAUCCCAAAAAUCAGGCCACGAUCGGAGAUGUCAAAGGAAAAGGACGGAUGGAAGAAGAAGGUGAAGGAUCAGAAAGGCCACGUCGGCCUGUCACUUCCCAAGACUUACUCAGCAAGUAUCAGCAGCAGCGGGAAGAUUCAAGACGCCACGAAGAGAUGAUGCGCCGACACGAAGAUCACUGGAGGUGCCCGUUUUUCAUCCACUGCUGGGAGAAUAACCUUAGAUUACCGUCGGCUGAUAAUUGCCCUGAGUGCAACGGCCAGUAUCGCAGUGGUCGUCCGUUCAAUAGAUCACGCUCCAAGGAUCGAGGGCUAGAGCCAAUCAGCAGAAAGAGGCACGAGCAAGGAGAUCGGCGCGUUUCAGUGCGUGAUCGGCUGGGGGGUAGAGUUGACCAGCAUAAUCGGCUGGGGGGCAGAACCAGCGCACAUGAUCGGCUGGGGGGUAGAACCAGCGCACAUGAUCGGCUGGAAGAGAUAGCUGACGCCAAAGUCUCAGAUGAGAACCUCCUAGGGUGAGAAUCAGGCUGGGAGCGUGCAAAGCCGCCGAGUAAACCAGUAAACCCCAGAUGGUGCCCAGCCGGUUUGACUAAGUCCUUGAAACGGAGGGUCCAGCGUUUGCACCAAUGGGAGCAGCAAGAAGAAAAACAAAGGUAGGUGAUGGAUAACAAAGGGGACAGGUCUCGAGUAUGGCGUCCUAGAAGAAAAUCCGACGCAGGAGACUAAAAUCAUGAUUCGACAGCUGACUUCAGCAUGAUGUUCAUCUUGCCGAUGGAGUUCAUGCCUCCCGCCGACCGGGACAAUGCGAUAGAGAUAGAGGAGCAAAUGGCACAAUUGGCUCUGGAGCCAAUGACCGCCACUUUUGAGAAACCCGAGGAUUAAAAACGCCAACAUCUCAAGGCCCUGUUCCUCAAAGGACAUGUCAACGGACGACCAGUCACCAAGCUGUUGGUAGAUGGAGGCGCUGCUGUGAACAUCAUGCCCUAUGCUAUGUUCCGCAAAUUGGGCAAAGGUAAAGAAGAUCUAACAAAGACGGAUAUAAUGCUCAAGGAUUUCGAAGGCAACGUAUCUCCGGCCCGAGGGGCACUCUGCGUCGACCUCACCAUCGGGAGUAAGGCCCUACCCACUAUUUUCUUUGUUAUUAAUGGCAAAGGCUCCUACAACAUGUUGCUCGAGCGAGAUUGGAUCCACGCAAACUGCUGCAUCCUGUCUACGAUGCACCAAUGCCUUGUCCAAUGUGUCGGCGACAACAUCGAAGUAGUCAUCGCCGAUUCCACCUAUAGCGUUGCCACGGCCGACGCACAACAGUGGAGCUACGAUCACGUCAAAUUCAAAUAUGGUAGGGUUUGGGACACCAAUUUCCUAAAGGUGUCCGAUUUCGGUCUACAGCCAAUCCAAGCAGUCAGCUCUAAAGAAUCAAGUUAAAAUGGAUCAGUUCAUCUGAGAAGAUGGGAAGCUCGGGCACGGGUUUACGUCGGCCGAUUCAUUGGAGAUGGUGGACCUUGGAGAUGGCAACAAGCCAAAGCCGACGUAUAUUCGUGCUAGGUUAGAACCCGAGUAUAAGCAUGAAUUAAUGAGUCUUUUACGAGAAUUUAAAGAUUGCUUUGCUUGGGAGUAUCAUGAGAUGCCUGGUCUAGACCGGUCCAUCGUCGAACACCGGUUGCCUAUAAAACCAGGGCAUUGGCCGCAUCAGCAACCUGCACGACGUUGUAAUCCUAAAAUUUUACCUGAUAUAAAGGCCGAGAUUACAAGAUUAAUUGAAGCAGGGUUUAUUCGGCAAUGUCGCUAUGCCGAGUGGAUUUCCAAUAUUGUGCCCGUAUACAAGAAAAAUGGAAAGUUACGUGUGUGCAUUGACUUCAGGAAUGUUAAUCAGGCUAUGUCGAUGGAUGGAUAUCCGAUGCCGAUGGCUGAUGUUUUAAUAGACGCCACCGCAGGACACAAAGUCAUCACCUUCAUGGAUGGUAAUGCUGGGUACAAUCAGAUAUUAAUAGUCGAAUAAGAUAUUUCAAAGACGGCUUUCAGAUGCCCAGGCCACCUCGGUUUGUUCGAGUGGGUAGUAAUGAGUUUCGGUUUAAAAAAUGCUGGAGCUACGUACCAACGGGCUAUGAAUUAUAUAUUCCACAAGCUUAUUUGUGUCCUGGUGGAGAUCUACAUUGACGAUGUCGUGGUCAAAUCAAAAGGGUAUCAGGAACACCUGGCCGAUUUGCGAAAAGUGUUGGAAUGCACAAGAAAGCAUGGGUUGAAGAUGAAUCCAAACAAAGUGUGCCUUCGGCGUUUCGGCUGGACAGUUUCUGGGAUUCAUGAUUCACGAGCGAGGCAUCGAGAUCAAGCGAAAAAUUAUAGUUGCUAUCAACAAAGUCGUGGGCCCCCAGAAUAAGACUGAGCUACAGUACUUAAUCAGCAAGGUUAACUUCAUCCGACGGUUCAUAUCUAACUUGUUCGGGCGUAUUCAAGCUUUCACCCCUUUGUUGAAAUUAAAACCCGAUCAAGAAUUUGUAUAGGGUAAGGAAUAGCAGAAAACAUUAGAUGGCAUCAAACAAUACCUAGUCUCGCCACCAGUAUUGGUUCCGCCGCAGGCCAACAAGCCAUUCAAAUUAUACCUAUUGGCUGAUGAACGAGCUAUUGGGUUGGCGCUGGUCCAGGAAUGUGAAGGAAAAUAAAGAGUAAUCUAUUAUGUCAACAGAAGACUCCUGAACGUUGAAACUAGAUAUCCUCCGGUGGAACGGCUGUGCCUUUGUCUAUAUUUUUCAUGCACCAAACUCAGGCACUAUCUGUUAUCGGCAGAGUGCAUAGUCGUUUGCAAAGAUGAUGUGGUCAAGUACAUGUUGUCAUUGCCGAUUUUGAAAGGGAGGAUUGGAAAGUGGAUUCUAGCUCUCUCAGAGUUCGACCUGAGGUACGAAUCGGCCAAAGCUGUCAAGGGGCAAGUAAUGGCCGAUUUCGUGAUCCAGCACUGUGGACCAGAAAUUACUGUCGAACCAGCUCCGUGGACACUAUACUUUGAUGGGUCUGCGUGUGGGGCCGGAUCGGGAAUCGGCAUCAUCCUCAUAUCGUCUCGAGGGGCAAGUUAUGAUUUCUCUCUGCCGUUUGAGGCGUCCGCUACUAAUAAUCAAGCGGAGUAUCGGGUUGUUCUAAAAGGUAUCCAAUUAUUAAGAGAGGUCAAAGCUGACGUGAUGGAAAUUUUUGAGGAUUCCAUGCUCAUUGUAGAUCAAUUAACUGGAAAGUCUGAAUGCAAGGAUGAUAUCUUGAGGAUUUACUACGAAGAUUGCCUCAAGUUAUUGAAGGAGUUCAAGUCUUUGAUUAUUGAGCAUAUUCCCAGGAAUUACAACGAAGAAGCCAAUAGACUUGCCCAACAUCCUUCCGGGUAUCGGCUGUGUUGACGCCAGAUUUUGACACGAGUAAAAUCGGCGUUAGAAGUGGAAGAAAUUAGGAGAUGCGGCGAGAUACAAGGGCAACGAUUGGAAAUCGGCCGAUUGGUGCUACAGUCAAGGAUCGGUUGGUUGGUGCUGCAGUCAAGGAUCGGCCAAUAGAUGCUACAGACGAGGAUCGGCCGAUUGAUCCUUAGAGUUCCGCCUCGCACGACCCCUGGUUUGGGAUCGGACACGCCCGACCCUCCAAGGGAGGAUCUCCGCCUCGCCCGACCCCUGGUUUGGGAUCGGACGCGCCCGACCCUCCAAGGGAGGAUCUCCGCCUCGCCCGACCCCUGAGGUUUGGGAUCGAACGCGCCCGACCCUCCAAAGGAGGAUCUCCGCCUCGUCCGACCUUAGUUCCCAGGGUCGAAAUGAGUCUGAGCCCUCGAUAUGUGGGUCCUGAUCGGUUACCCCCCUUGCCAAAGAGGUGAUCGGCCGAUUAGGAGGUUGGAAUAGUUGGGCCGAUGUGGGCUCAAGAAGGAUUAUGAAGAUGAAGAGGGGGUCAGCCCAUGAAGCGCGUGAAAAUAGUACGAAUCGUACUUGUAAAUAUUCGUUUUCUGUUUAAAUUUAGGGAUAGAGUUCUAGUCGGAUAAGAAGUCGUUUGUACGGGGCUAUAAAUAGCCACCGUUGUAGAUCUGUAAUCAUCAUCAACUCAAUACAACAAACUACUAUUUCCUCGUACUUACUUUCAAGCAGGCGACUUUACCAACACUUUUUCUCCUUUUUCACGAGUUCGUACGGGUUGGCGGGGCUGCAUCAACUUGACCUCCGGCCGAUCUUGUAAGUUCCGUUUAUCGACUAAAUUCUAAGCUUUAACUUCGGGCGCAUCGCUGUCAUUUCGUUUAGAUUUAUUCAUCAGUUAUCGAUAUUUACUAGAAUUCUAGGUUUUACCUGUUGUUCUAGUUUUAUCACCAAUUAUCCAGCUAGGAAUCGGUAAAUUCGGCUUUCUUUAUACUUCUCUGUCUAAUCUAUUUAUUUUAGCCGAUUAGAUCUGUUCCUAGUGUUGCUACUGUAGCGUUGUUUAGAUUACUCUAGCAGUUUUCUUUAUAAACGUUACCUGGUAAUCGGUUGCACUAUAGCCGAUUUCCUUAUUACGGCAAAUCGGCCGAUUCGCUGAUAAGCUUUCUUGAGAUCGGAACCUUAGCUGAUCGCAACCUCUGGGAACUGACACGUUUAUUUCCUUGCCAAUCAACAGUUCAGAUUGGCUGGCUCGCCGCGCGAACCGUACCAGGGCAAUCACCCGAACAGGAGUUAAGCAGAUUCUCCCGGGUCGUGUGUCCGACGCUGGGAAUUCGGUCAGCUGAUUUCUAGUGCCAACACACUUUUGGCACGCCUAGUGGGGCCAAUACAACCGCCACCAUGUCGAAAGCUGCUGAAGUCUCCGAAGAUAACAUCAUCGAAGUGACAGAGGCAGAUCUCAGGGACGACCAGAAGGAAGAACUAGAGAGGCAGACAGCAUACUACCGGAAGACAUGUCUGCAGUCCUUCAGUCGCACCAGGAGCGAGGAGACUAUCAAAAAGGCUCCGUUUCCAACUCCCCGCCAGAUCACAAUCACCGAGGAUUCGGACAAGAUGUCCGAGAUGGUCCAGCAAUCCGUCUAUCAAGCUUUCAUUGAUCAAUCCCCGGUGCUUUCUAAUACGGUAUACAAUGCCGUCAUCAGCUCCUUGGCUAGUGGUGUAUCUCAAGGGUACCAGGGGCCGGCAUAUGUUCCGCUGAUUAUGGCUCCGAGCAAUGCGGCGACAUGAAGAUCACUGGCGAUGCCCGUUCUUCAUCCACUGUUGGGAAAGCAACCUUAGGUUGCCUUCGGCCGAUAAUUGCCCCGAGUGCAACGGCCCGUAUCGUAACAAUCGGCCGUUCAGCAGGUCUCGCUCCAGAGAUGGGAGAUCAGAGCCGAUCAGCAGGAACUGGCGCGACCAAGACAACCGGCGCCCUCCAGUACGUGAUCGGCUGGGGGGCAGAAGUGACCGGUAUGACCGGUCGGAAGGCAGGCGCAAUGAUGGGCCGGGGGCAGAUUUAAUCGACGUGACCGGCCAGAAAAUAGAGUCAGCGUCCACAGACGACUUGAAUAGAUGGCCGAUGCUCGGGUGUUAGAUGAGAACCCUUUAGGACGCGAACUAGAAUGGGAACGCGCCAGGCCACGAACCAAACCGGUGAACCCCAGGUGGUGCCCCGAUGGAUUGACCAAGUCUCAAAAACGAAGAAUCCAACGUCUCCGCCAGUGGGAACAGCAGGAAGAAGAGCAACAGUACACGACGGACGAGAAGAAAGGCAGGUCUUAGGUAUGGCGCCCCAAAAGAAACGACAGAGGAGGCGACAAAUCAGCAGGCGAUGAAUCGGCAGCCGAUAUCGACAUGGUCUUCAUACUGCCGAUGGAAUUCAUGACUCCUGCCGACCAACAGGACAUGUCAGCAAUAGAAGAGUAGAUGGCGCAAUUGGCUUUGGAGCCAAUGACAGCCACAUUCGAGAAGCCCGAAGAAGACAAACGGCAACACCUGAAAGCGUUGUUUCUUAAAGGGCAUGUCAACGGCCGACCCAUCACCAGAUUACUGGUAGACAGAGGGGCUGCAGUCAACAUCAUGCCGUACGCCAUGUUCCGGAAGCUAGGGAAGAGCAAUGAUGACCUGACCAAGACAGACAUGAUGCUCAAGGACUUCGAGGGCAACGUAUCCCCCGCUCACGGCGCUCUCUGCGUCGACCUCACCAUCGGCAGUAAGACCCUUCCUACUACUUUCUUUAUUAUUAAUGGCAAGGGGUCCUACAACAUGCUACUCGGCCGAGACUGGAUACAUGCAAAUUGCUGUAUCCCAUCUACAAUGCAUCAAUGCCUCGUAUAGUGGGUCGGCGACAACAUUGAGGUGGUCACCGCCGAUUCCGCAUACAGCAUCGCGGCAGCCGACACGCAACAGUGGAGCUGCGAAACCGUCAAGUGCAUAUCCGGGAGAGUAUGGGAUACUGACUUCUUGAAGGUGUCCGAUUUUGGCCUACAGCCGAUCCGAGCAGUCGGCUCUGAGGACUCAGAUUAAAUGGAUCAGUUCACCCGAGAAGAUGGGAAGCUGGGACAUGGGUUCACGUCGGCCGAUUCAUUAGAAAUGAUAGACUUAGGCGAUGGCACCAUACCAAGGCCGACAUAUAUUAGUGCAAAUUUAGAUCCGGAAUACAAAUGUAAACUGACAAGUUUGUUAAGAGAACUUAAGGAUUGCUUUGCUUGGGAAUAUCAUGAGAUGCCCGGAUUAGACCGAUCUAUCGUUGAACAUCGGUUACCCAUAAAGCCAGGGUAUCGGCCGUAUCAACAGCCUGCACGGCGGUGCAAUCCUAAAAUCCUACCGGACAUAAAGGCCAAAAUAACGCGGCUAAUCAAAGCAAAAUUUAUUCGGCAAUGCCGUUAUGCCGAAUGGAUCUCCAACAUUGUACCAGUAUAUAAGAAGAACGGAAAGUUACGCGUAUGCGUCGAUUUCAGGAACCUCAAUCAGGCCACACCAAUGGACGGAUACCCCAUGCCGACGGCUGAUGUACUGAUAGAUGCCGCCGCGGGACACAAGGUUAUUAGUUUCAUGGAUGGAAACGCUGGGUACAAUCAGAUACUUAUGGCCGAAGAAGACAUAUCUAAAACGGCCUUCAGAUGCCCGGGUCACCUUGGUUUAUUCGAGUGGGUGGUAAUGACUUUCGGCUUGAAAAAUGUCGGCGCUACGUAUCAGAGAGUCAUGAACUACAUAUUCCACAAACUUAUCGGCAUACUAGUAGAAAUCUACAUCGACGACGUCGUAGUCAAGUCAAAAGGACACCAGGAGCAUCUGGCCGAUUUACGACAGGUGUUGGAAUGCACUAAGAAACAUGGGCUGAAGAUGAACCCGAAUAAGUGUGCCUUCGGCGUAUCCGCCGGACAAUUCUUAGGAUUCAUGGUGCACGAGCGGGGAAUAGAAAUCAAUCAGAAGACUAUAGCGGCCAUCAACAAAAUUGUGGCCCCGCAGAAUAAAACUGAGCUGCAAUCUCUAAUCGACAAGAUGAAUUUCAUCAGGAGGUUCAUAUCUAAUUUGUCUGGGCGAAUCCAAGCCUUCACACCAUUAUUAAAGUUGAAGCCCGACCAGGAGUUCGUAUGGGGGGAAGAGCAACGCAAGGCAUUGGAAGAUAUCAAGCAGUACUUGGUCUCACCACCGGUAUUGGUCCCUCCUCAAACUGGUAAGCCGUUUAAACUAUAUUUAUCAGCCGAUGAACGAGCUAUUGGGUCGGCUCUGGUCCAGGAGUUCGAGGGAAAGGAACGAGUAAUUUAUUAUGUCAGUAGAAGACUUCUGGACGCCGAAACAAGGUAUCCUCCAGUGGAGCGGUUGUGCCUAUGCCUUUACUUCUCAUGUACCAAACUCAGGCACUAUUUGCUAUCAGCGGAAUGUGUGGUCGUAUGCAAGGACGACGUGGUAAAAUACAUGCUGUCACUGCCGAUUUUGAAAGGAUGGAUCGAAAAAUGGAUCUUGGCUUUGUCGGAGUUUGACCUUCGAUAUGAAUCGGCAAAAGCCGUUAAGGGUCAGGUCAUGGCCGAUUUCGUUGCCCAGCACUGCGGGCCAGAGGCUACCUUCGUAGAACCAGUACCUUGGACCUUAUACUUUGAUGGAUCGUCAUGUGGGGCCGGAUCAGGAAUCGGCAUCGUCCUCAUAUCGCCUCGGGGGGCAAGCUAUGAUUUCUCUCUACCGAUAGAAGCAUCCACCACUAACAAUCAAGCAGAGUACUGAGCUGUACUGAAGGGAUUACAAUUGCUAAGGGAAGUCAAAGCUGAUUCCGUCGAAAUUUUUGGGGAUUCCAUGCUUAUCGUGGAUCAGUUAACAGGGAAAUCCGAGUGCAAGGACGAUGUAUUGAGGAUUUAUUACGAAGAUUGCCUCCUGCUUCUGAAAGAAUUCAAGUCGGCAGUUAUCGAGCACAUCCCAAGGAAUCACAACGAGGAUGCCAACAAGCUCGCCCAACACGCAUCUGGGUAUCGGCCGAUUCAAGGCGCCUUGGCUCUAGAGCUCGCGGCCAAUGACUGGCGAAAGGAGAUUGCCGAUUACCUGAAAGAUCCGUCUAAGAAAGUGGAUCGGCGGGUAUGUUUUCAUGCUACCAAAUAUGUGCUACUGGAAGACGACUUGUUCUACCGAACAAUUGAUGGCGUCCUACUCAAGUGUCUAGGAACGGAGGAGGCUAAGACUCUGAUGGGAGAAAUCCAUGAAGGAGUGUGUGGAGCCCACCAAUCGGCACAUAAGAUGAAAUGGAUGAUUAGGAAUAAUGGGUAUUACUGGCCGACGAUCCUCGAAGAUUGCUUCAAAUAUUAUAAAGGAUGUCAGGAUUGUCAGAAAUUCGGGAAUGUCCAACGUGCGCCCGCAUCGGCCAUGAAUCCCAUUAUCAAACCAUGGCCGUUCAGAGGUUGGGGGAUAGACCUCAUCGGCCAAAUUUAUCCUCCGUCAAGCAAAGGGCACAAGUUCAUUCUGGUGGCCACUGAUUAUUUCACCAAGUGGGUGGAGGCAAUUCCGUUAAGGGCCGUGACAUCGGCUGCUAUGGUUGACUUCGUAAGAGACCAUAUCGUCUACCGUUUCGGCAUCCCCCAGACUAUCACGACCGAUCAAGGGACAAUGUUUACAUCAGGAGAAUUCGAGGAGUUCACAGCCGACAUGGGAAUCAAAUUAUUAAACUCCUCUCCGUAUUAUGCCCAAGCUAAUGGCCAGGUCGAAUCUUCCAACAAGGGGAUAAUUAAGUUAAUCAAGAGGAAGAUAGAGGAGCAGCCGAAAAAGUGGCAUCUAUGUCUGACUGAAGCUCUAUGGGCAUACAGGAUGGCUUGCCAUGGGGCCACUAAGAUGUCCCCUUAUCAGUUGGUGUACGGUCACGAGGCAGUACUACCAUGGGAGUUGAGGGCAGGAUCGAGACGCACUUCGCUCCAGGACCAGUUAGCGGCCGACGACUACUCCUCACUCAUGAAAAGGGAACUUGAUGACUUGGCUGGCCAACGAUUGAGAGCUUUGAUAAGCAUCAAAGAAAACAAGAAGAAAGUGGCCAGGUGGUAUGAUAAGAAAGUCAAAGUCAAACAAUUCUCUCCGGGGGACCUGGUAUGGAAGUUAGUGUUGCCGAUCGGGUCGAAAGAUCCUAAAUUCGGUAAGUGGUCCCCUACGUGGGAAGAGCCGUAUAAAAUCGGCAGAUGUGCUCCAGGAAACGCUUAUAUUCUGGAAACAAUCGAAGGAGAGAAGAGUUUACUAGGGCUUUGAACGGAAGAUACUUGAAAAGGUACUACCCUAGUAUAUGGGUCGGAGCAUAAGGAUCGACCAUGAUGAACAACACACAGCCAAUACAAAAGGAUUCGUCUAGAGAAAAAAACGUAAUCGUCCAAAUCGGCCGAUGUAUUUCAUUCGGUACGGACGGUGGGUUACACGGCCGACAAGGUACAAGUUGCCCUUAGAACAAAAAAAAAUUAAUCACGCUUUUUCUUAAGCUCUCUCUCAGCCCGACCUAGUUCUAUCAGAAGACGGAUGUACUCUUCUUUUAUCUCUUUCAUCGAAGCCUCCGCUUCGACUUGACGGGGGAGAGGGUGACUCCGGUCCAUGGCCGGGCGUGAUGUUCCUACUGCUGCAUCUUCAAGGACGAUUUGAUGAGGAAGCGGAUGACUUCUGUCGGCUUGAGGUCGCCGGUGGUCGUUGCUGUCCAGAAAGUCCCAGAUCCAUCGGAUGUCGGCAGGGACGUGCUCUUGGAGUUCGUCGCGAUGAGCUCUGAUUAAAUCCUUAUCUUCUUGCGACAACGGUUCAUCGGAGUGUACAAGUCCGAUGGCUCGUUCGAGUUCGGGGCUAAGGCGCCGUGGCUGCGGAAAGCAACAAUAUACAUAUAGCUGCCGAAAAGGUGAUUCCCUUCAGAAGAGCUAAACUAAGAAAGAGAAUGAAGGCAAAUCUUUUACCUGAUUAACGGAGGAAGAGGUAGAGGAUGGAGAAGACAUGACUGAAAGGCGCACCGACGUGAACAGGUCGAGGAAGAUGAAGCCGAGUUAGAAAGGUACUCUCGGAACGGUCACCUAGGCCGGUGUUUAUAGGAAAGGAAGGCAUGGAUGUUUGGUAAGACGCGUCCCAUCGGGAGUGUGAAAGGUAAUAAAUAAGGGGGCGUCGCGAAGGACGGUCAAAGGGAUCAUUAAAUGUUCGUACAAGAACUGCCAGCACUUUUACAGGUCACCCAGAAGGGCAUCGAUAGCUGCGAUCGCUCGACGCCGGAUCUGAUCGGCAGAGUCCAGGACCCGUUGGUCAUCCUCUGCCGAUCCGGGGACUUCUAACAUAUGGCGGUGGAGUUUGAGGGCCUCGUGAGCCAGAUGCUGCCUCUCUCGUUUCAGAUCGGCAAUGACAGAAGGGAGUUCCUGAAGCCUCUUCUCUUCGGCGUCUAUUGCUUUGGUCACCUGCUCCAUCUCCUUGGCAAGCUCUGCCCUUCGGCGUUUGAGGCGAUCUAUCGUGCCGACGAUCCCCGGGCGAGAGUCUUCCAGAAAGUGAAUCCGUUGAUGCACCUCUUGAGCUUGACGCUUGUACGUGUCUUCUUCUUCACGAGUUUUGGUCAACUUGACGCGAUCGGCCAUGUGGCGCAGGGCCCUAAAGACUGGAAUCCUCAUUGACUCGAUAUAUGCAGCUGGCGCCAAGGCCUCUUCCGCUUCUUCUGGUACUCGCCCGCUGACGUCACCAAAAAGUUGUUGAAUCAGCGAAGCGUCUUCUACCAAUCGGCCGAUGUCCUCUUGAAGAAGGGAUCGGAUGCUUGCGAGUUUGGCACGGACGUCAUCAGGAACGGAGCUCAAAGUGACCUGGCGAGAGGCGACUUCCUCAUCAUCGGAGAGUGCGACCGCAAACGAGAAAAGGCUGUUGUUGGGGGUGUCCUGUUCCUGAAAAAUAGUGAGUCAAGAAGAAGAACAAAUCAGCCGAUGAUGAUAGCAAAUCGGCUGAGUAAGGGUGAGAAAUCUCUUACCUCCUUGAAACGGAUUUCUUCAAACUGCGUUUGGGAGGCUGUUAUCCUCGAUUCAGGGGCUGGUACCAUUGGUUCGUCAGAAGCUGAAGACUCCACCAUGAUUGGUGCUUUGCUCGGGCCAGCUUCCCGAAAGAUGACCAUUGGUUGGUUAGGUGGGGCGCUAAGCGUACCGGUGACCUGUGUCAAAAGAUUGAAUAAGAAUAUUAUCCAAAUACUAGAAAAAUCGGUUGAAGAGUAGUAUACCUCGGCAGACGGAAGCGUGGGCGUGUUGAUGACCGAUUGGGUUGCUGCCGAUUGUUGUGAGUCCACAGAAGUGAUUUGUGUAGUCUAAAAUAAGAUGAGUCAGUAUAGAGAUGGCAAUCGGUAGGAUCAAACAACAAGUUUACCUGCAUGGCCUCCACCAGUAAUGAUGCAGCGGCCGCCCCAGCUUGCGUGACGACUUGAGUAUCUACUUCUCCAGCAGCUGGAAGGGGCAAUGUGGCCGAAGUUUCUGCCGAUGUGAUCGUAGGAGGGUCGGCCGGUUCUGUACGAGCUCGCACUCGGCGACUGGUCUUCUUGGUAACCUUCUUCUGCGCCUGCUUCGAUCGGCCGGCAAUCACAUCCACGGAAGGGGCAUCGUAGCCGAUAAGGGGGAAGAUGGUGUAUAGGUGAUGGUCCUCUAUCGGCCGGCCACUCCGACUGUGUGUUGGGGGAACGCAGUUUUCAGACUGAAGCAACAGCAAGAUGUUAGUGUACAUAUUUAACCGCAUUAAUAAAGGAAUGAAAAUCAGUUAGGGAAAAAAAAUACCUCGGUGUUCGGAUCGAUGUUGGCUGGAUCCAGGAGGUUGCAGUAUGUCGAUGCGGAGGCACAGAAUAGGUACUGUUUUCAUUCGGCCCACCAUAGCUUGAAUGGUUGGACAACAAAGGGGGCUACUAUCCAGUCAUUCAAGUCUAUGGUACUGGAGUCUGGUAUCCGGUCUCGCAGCCGACUAUAGUCAAGACCCUUGGUGAGCUCAUCUCUGAACUUUGCUCGGCCGACGAAGUAUGCCUGAAUCGGCAGUUGACCCAUGCCGAAUUGCCGAGCUGCAACGGAGGGAUUGUAGAAUUCAUAUGUAGGGGCAUCCUUUCCUGAGAAGAAGUUGGCCGGUAAGAUCCCCGGUUUAAUUAGUUCAUCUGUGAGAUCUUCGUCGAAUCAGCCGGUGGUUGAGUCGAAGCAAGAAGGGAGUUCAAAGAUUGGGUCAUCUCUCCAAUAAGGAAACCAGACGGUUGCAUCUUCAUUGAAGCCGUUAUAAAAACACUGGAAGUAUUCGGCCACCUUGGUAGCAGAGUACGAGCAACCAGAGAAGGCCGAUGCCGCUUCGCCGAAAGACAUACACCGGCGUCGGACAGUGAGAUUCUCUGCCGAUUCGACGCUGGGGAAUGUCAUGUGUUCCACUCGCUGCUGAGAGAUCUCGCUCAUGUACAAGUUCAGCCAUAAGUUAAUGAACCACCAGGGUCCACCUGGGUUUCCAAUUGGCUACCCUUGGGAUAGCUUGAUGCCGAUUUGGUGAAGCAUGUGGUAGGCUGCUCCCAGUAAGUGCUUUCCAAGAGGAACAGAAGUCCCUAUUGAUAAUGCUUCGGCCAGAGCUUGGGUAUUGGUAGAUGGACCAGCUGCUCUCCCACAGAAGAAGUGCUUCUCUAGCCACAUCAUCAGGAAGGCCGUGUGCUCUCUGUUGUCGACAGAUCCGGCCCUUUUGUUGCAUCUGAUGAAACCUUUCCACCUGCCGAUUCCCCUUGUGUCCAGCCGAUGUGAUGUUGCGGUUAUAAGGCGGAAAGGGGUGUCCGGGGAAGAAAUAUCCAGGCCGGUCAGGAAGACUACAUCGGCCAAUGUGGGGGUCAUGGGUCCGUGUCCAAACAGGAAUGCGUUGAGAGCAUUGGACCAGAAGUAAGAAGCUGCCACCACUAAUGGCUCAUUCCGUUCCAUUUGGGACAAAGAUAGAUCGAUGCAUUGGCCAAUUUUGAGCUCGUCCCAUUGGACCUUCUUGGAAGCGGUUAUCCGCUGGUACCAUUCCCUCCAACUGGGAGUUUCGUUCGGCCAAGACCUAAAGGUACUCAACCAGUGAUCUAGGUCCAUAGUUGAUUGUUUGAAGGGGAUCCUAUGGGUUUUCCAAAUUGAUUAAGUCGGUUGGAUCUGGAUUUCCCAUGGGUCCAAGACAGAUAAGGCCGAGGUUUUCUGUGAGACGAAUGGUGAUGCGAUGCCUAACCGCCUAAAAAGGAAAAGGGGGUGCGAGGGUAAGAAAUAGAUCUAAAGUACAUGCAUUACUAAUAAGGGAAAGUUUCGGUAAUGACCUCCGGGAUGAAGCUCCUCGUAAUCGGCGGAGUCGCCGGUGCAGCUGCAGACGAUGAAGCUGCCAAUGGGAUCUCGGAUGAAGCUUCAACUUUCGCCAAUGGAGCUCCUUCUUCCGUCGAUGGAGCCGUCGUUAUCGCUACUGGAACCUCCGCCGAAGGCACCAUUUCUGGAGCUUCGCGCAUUGGUGAGGUGCCUGAAGGUGCCGCCAUUGGAAAAGUAGGAGGCAAUGCGAAAGGAAGGAGGCGCUGGAGAAUUGGUGGACUAAGGAAAGUGUUGGAGGAAGAAGAAAGCCUGUGCACUGAAGAAGAUGGACAUGAGCUCGUAAGGAGUACGGGAUGUGCUGAUAUUUAAAGAACGUCUGAGAAGGGGUAAAAGUGGAAUUUUUACCGCGCUGGCGUUUUGAGUUUUUCGGGAGUAGUGGUUGUCGUGGGCACCCGUUUCGAAAAGAUUGCAAUCAUCAGGUUGGAGACCGCGAAAUGGAAGGAUGUUUUCAUUGCGUCUGUUUCGGAUGAGAAGUUGAAAAGAAUUUUGAAGUAAAGACUAUGUUUUACUCCGAAACUGGGAGGCAUGUGUUGACGCCAGAUUUUGACACGAGUAAAAUCGGCGUUAGAAAUGGAAUAAAUUAGGAGAUGCGGCGAGAUACAAGGGCGACGAUUGGAAAUCGGCCGAUUGGUGCUACAGUCAAGGAUCGGUUGGUUGGUGCUGCAGUCAAGGAUCGGCCAAUUGAUGCUACAGAUGAGGAUCGACCGAUUGAUCCUUGGAGUUCCGCCUCGCCCAACCCCUGGUUUGGGAUCGGACGCGCCCGACCCUCCAAGGGAGGAUCUCCGCCUCGCCCGACCCCUGGUUUGGGAUCGGACGCGCCCGACCCUCCAAGGGAGGAUCUCCGCCUCGCCCGACCCCUGAGGUUUGGGAUCGGACGCGCCCGACCCUCCAAAGGAGGAUCUCCGCCUCGUCCGACCUUAGUUCCCAGGGUCGAAAUGAGUCUGAGCCCUCGAUAUGUGGGUCCUGAUCGGUUACCCCCUUGCCAAAGAGGUGAUCGGCCGAUUAGGAGGUUGGAAUAGUUGGGCCGAUGUGGGCUCAAGAAGGAUUAUGAAGAUGAAGAGGGGGUCAGCCCAUGAAGCGCGUGAAAAUAGUACGAAUCGUACUUGUAAAUAUUCGUUUUCUGUUUAAAUUUAGGGAUAGAGUUCUAGUCGGAUAAGAAGUCGUUCGUACGGGGCUAUAAAUAGCCACCGUUGUAGAUCUGUAAUCAUCAUCAACUCAAUACAACAAACUACUAUUUCCUCGUACUUACUUUCAAGCAGGCGACUUUACCAACACUUUUUCUCCUUUUUCACGAGUUCAUACGGGUUGGCGGGGCUGCAUCAACUUGACCUCCGGCCGAUCUUGUAAGUUCCGUUUAUCGACUAAAUUCUAAGCUUUAACUUCGGGCGCAUCGCUGUCGUUUCGUUUAGAUUUAUUCAUCAGUUAUCGAUAUUUACUAGAAUUCUAGGUUUUACCUGUUGUUCUAGUUUUAUCACCAAUUAUCCAGCUAGGAAUCGGUAAAUUCGGCUUUCUUUAUACUUCUCUGUCUAAUCUAUUUAUUUUAGCCGAUUAGAUCUGUUCCUAGUGUUGCUACUGUAGCGUUGUUUAGAUUACUCUAGCAGUUUUCUUUAUAAACGUUACCUGGUAAUCGGUUGCACUAUAGCCGAUUUCCUUAUUACGGCAAAUCGGCCGAUUCGCUGAUAAGCUUUCUUGAGACCGGAACCUUAGCCGAUCGCAACCUCUGGGAACUGACAUGUUUAUUUCCUUGCCAAUCAACAGGUCAGAUUGGCUGGCACGCCGCGCGAACCGCACCAGGGCAAUCACCCGAACAGGAGUUAAGCAGAUUCUCCCGGGUCGUGUGUCCGACGCUGGAAAUUCGGUCAGCUGAUUUCUAGCGCCAACAGGCUCAUUUAUGUCGCCUGACACGCGAAUAUGCACUUUAACCAAGUCAACCUGGUCGACCGUCGGAUUUCAUCCGAUGAACCACUUACACAGGAUCAAGAAGCAUCGCUCAAACGAAGGUGAGUAGCACAGAGGUUACAACAUUCCAUUAUGACAACUUAGUUCCACAAUUUAUUACAUCAGAGUUUCAGAAAUUCAAACAAGUUGCAAGGUUCGAAAAGUCGGAUAAAACAAGCGAAAACUAAACGUCGAUACAGGAUAUCAUGACGAAGUUGAUCAUGACAUCAAAAAUCCCUACCCUCACCGUCCGAGGAGGGAUCCCACUCGAUUGUCCAGCCCGGAGGGAGCUGGGUAGGCCAAGUGGUGCCAGCAACCAAACUAUUGACAUGACCUGAAAAGAUUAAGCCAUAACAAGGCUGAGCAACUAAUACUCAGCAAGACUGACCCGUCGAGUGAAAAGCUUUACCAAGACCUAGACAUGCAAGGCUUUCUGGCUCUGGGAUUACUUUGCCAAAAGCAUCUACAGUCGGUCCUUACUUUCAAUAUUUUAGCUUAAGUUCUACGUUCUUUAACCAGUCUAGAUUAGCAACUUAUACUAAACAAGCAUAAUUUCCAAGUAGUUAAAUAACAAGCAUCAACUUAAUCUCAUAAUCAUGUUUCAUCGUUACUCAGUGCAGAAUAGCGAUCAAGUAGUCCCAAACUGUGAGAGACAGAUGAAUCGAUUCGAAUUUAUUAACCAUGCAUGGCGAACCUAAUCUCACGACAUCCGCGCACCACGAAGGGUCGCUUCAUUUGUCAGCCGUCCCCAUCGAUCCCUUAGGCACGUGUCAGGGCCAAACUGCCUUUGGCGUGCAAUGCUCCACAGUCCCGACCUCUGUCGUACUGUGACCGCCACUGCACCCACAUGAUGCACCAUGGGAACGACGUUCCAAGGACAGCAGGAGUAUAAGCCACGUCCCAGUUCAGUCAGGUACUAGGCUUCCCCAUCCCAGACUAGGUAUGAGAUUAGUACUUUCAAACACUUGAUCACGAACGCUGACACGUUUCAACCUUAGAUCAAUUUCCUUUAGACAGACGGGGAAAACCACCAAGUAUCGAACAUAAGCCCGACCCCGUCCGUCAUCCUUAUAGUUGCAACAUAAAUAAACAUUCAACUCCUAUAACUCGCGAGUGAUAGGAAAUCACUCGACUUUUACUGAAACCUAAUAAGCAUUGCAACUACUCGACUUUAGCAACUAGUAUUCAAACAAGGUACUAAGUUCAUGCAUCUACGGUUUCAAUCAACUCCUACACACGUAAAUGCGCAAACAUAAACAUCAACAUGUUGCAUAAAGUAAAACAGGGAAGUCAUGCACCGGGGCUUGCCGUCAGGAAGAGUUAGCGGGUCCUCGGGGUCUUGAUCCGGCUCAGGCUCGCCUUCCAAGUGGUGAAGCUCCGCAGCGGGGUCUUCCUCCGGUGUCGGGUGGAGCUCGUAGGUUCCAUCGGCGAGAUUUGCUUCUAUACGACAUGCAUAUGCAAAAGUUUAGUUGGACUCACGCGUUUAUUCAACGACACAAGGCUUGGCUUAAGACAAGGAGUUGCAACAGCCACAUUCACUUUGACGAGGUUCAACUUUCAUGCAACUUCAAACGAAUGUGGUCGGUUUAAACUUGAGUUCGAGUUGAAUGGCGAUUGUGUACAUAUAUAGUUUUCUUACACUUAGAGUUGCAUAAAGAGAAUGAAAGGUCGUGUUUGGGUGGUUUGGGUGCAUUAGGAUAGUUACUUACUUCUGAAUGUUUUUAUGUACCUCUUUCAAUUUCCACUUAUUUAUCGUAUUAGAAUUUGUGCUUUCCUUUUAUUCCUUUAGGUUGAUUAAUUAACCAAAAUGACUUCAUAUCCAAACAGCAGCUAAAGGCACUGAUAAAAUUACAACACCUCACUUAAGCCAUAGCUGGGUUACUCUAAAAUUUUGGGGGCCAUUGGAUGACUUAAAAAGGAAUUACAUGCAUUUUAUUAUUAAAGGUAAAAUGAGCUUAACUUUUUCUAUCUUCAAAGUUACUAUGCAACAGAGGGUGAAACUUAACCAGUGUGUUAAGGGUAUGUUACAGGAUCUUUGGCGAAUUUUUCAUAAUUUUUGAAGAAGGUUAACUAUUUACUCUAUUUCCUUUUUAAUUAAACAUGCUUAGCAAGGAAGGUGUUUUUUCUUUCCGAAUUGCACAACAAUUUACAUUUUUCCUGCAAACUUCACAGCAAAACAAAAUUAACCCAACUAGUUUCACAUUUUUUUGAGCUCUGGAUCAAAACGUAUGCAAAAAGGAAGAAUUAAUCUUAGAUUCCCAAAUUAAAGUCAAAACAAUGACUUAAAGUGCUAGACCAGAGCCCUAACCAUUUUUCUGAGCUUCUACACAUAGAAACAAGCAUCACAGAGUUGGUUUUACAUUUUUCCCACUUUUCUUCUAUUUAAUAGGAUUAAAAAGGCCUAAACCAUGAUUAAAAGCAUAUGAUAUUAUUUACAACAGUAACAUGAGCAAACUUAUUUUUCUUAGGAACUAGAUAGAGCAAGGAUUCCAACAAAAGUGGUUUGGUAUUUUUAUGAUUUUUCUACGAUUUACUGGGCAUUUACAAAGUUCAACCAUAUUUCUACCUAUUAUUUAAAAGAAAAGCCGUGGCAAACUUGCAGGUUAGCCCCUGGGUCUAUGGGUUAACUACGCAGAGGUCCCUGAGUUUUGCGCCCAGGCCCCUGGAAAGAAUGGGGAUGAUGCAAUGUAGUCCCCAGGGCGCGCGCGGCGGCGGCGAGGAAAUCCCCGGCGGUUCGUCGGCGGGGAUGGGGCAACAAGUGGUCGGAGGGGUGCGGGGGCUCACCUGAGCUCGGUUUGGUGGGGUUGGGGCGACGGAGAUGGUCGGUAGGGAUCAAAACACGGCGGCGGCGACAGAGCUUGGCUGGUGGCGGUGCAGGCGUCGUUCCGGCGCACUGGCGGCGUCGGGGAGGCCACGGGCUGCUCGGAGACGUGCGCGGAGGGGGGGCGAAGUGGGCGGCGAAGUUGCCGGAGUACGGGGUGGCGCGGAGGGGUGAGCUCCACGGGAGCUUAGCGGCGGCGCUGAGAAGGAAGCAGAGGCGUGGUUGCGAGCGGUGGCAAAGGGUGGCAUUGCCGGUGAGGGGGACCCUUUUAUAGGGCAGCGGUGGAGCGGAGGGUCGAGGUGGGGCUCCGGUGGAGGAAGGAUAAGGCCGGGAGCGGUGCGUGCGCGAGCGAGGCGGCCAUUGGCCAGCGGUGCCAUUGGGCAGGGGAGGCGGAGCUCCGGGUGGUCUCUGGCCGCGAUUGGCCUCGAGCGAUGCGUGUCUGAGGCCUCCGGUCUGUCGGCGGGCGAAGCGGAGGGCCACCGCGGGGGUUGGGCGAGCGGGCGGAGGCGCGGGACGUCGUUGGCGUGGUGGCUUCUCCAGCGGGUGGGCGAAGCGCGGUUGGGCAGAGCAGAGCCGCGGCAGAGGGAAGGGCACGCGCGCGGCCGACGGUUGGCCAGCCCGGCGUUCGCCCCGUCUUGUCGCAGGCGCGGGUUGGGCGCCGUGGCUCUCACCUUAUCGUUGUCUCGCCGGGGAUAGGGCGCCGGUGAGCUGCCGGUGGCCAGCGGCCACGAGGCACGCGGUGCGCGGGCGAACAUGCCCUGGCGCGCGGGCGUUGAGGCCCCUUCGGGCAGUAAGCCCGACCAGCUUUGAGAGAUCCUAUCUCAAGAUUUUGCAACACAACUUCCAAAACUCUUCUAAACAAACUUGUUCAACUCUGGACGUAGUUCAAACUUGGUUUAAGGUGCUGGUUUAGAUUGUGAAAGGAUUUGGAGAUAUCUCAUGCCAAAGUUUGCCAAAAAUAUGGAAAUCCAGACUUAGCCAAUUUUGGCCGGAGAGGUGGAAUUUCAGGAACUUAGCUAUGUUUGAGUCAACUUUAGGGCAGCUUCCAAGUUGAAUUAGACAGAAGUGUUAAUAGAGGAGUUGCUCUCCAAACUGAGGACUUCAACUUCUAUUUAGGGUAUUUCUGGAGUUUAGUUCAGAAAUUUGGAGGAACGCCCUCGCCAAGAGGUGCACUCUGAGCAGUUUUCCAGACUUAGCGUUGUGGUGCUCAGGGGCUGAGUUGACUGCUUUGCUCAACUUUGACCAAGAUUUUGAACAGGUUCUGGUUCGAUUUGGACCUGGGUCAUUGUAACAAACUUGGAAAACACUUGAGGUAUUACAACCUUUAUUAAGAGCCUGACUUGAGUUUAGAUAUGAAAUCGUGAGAUAAAGGCUUGCAAAGUUGGAGGAAAACUUGAAUUCCACGACUUGGAGGUUUAUAGGGUUCUUUAUUAUUCCGGUUUUGAUUCCUGUUUUUGACUUCCUCCCACUCCGAAUUAGCCAAAGUGACUUUAACAAAUAUUGUUUGAAAUUAAAAGUGUUACAACUCUUAUUUGGGCAAAAUUUUAAGUUUGUAUAUAAAAUCUCAAGUUUUAUUUUAAACUCCAUAAAGAGCUUCUUAGGGUUAAAAUGGUCAUUUCACUUCCUUUACUUAGUGAUUAACCACUGGUUUAUAUUUAAAGCACUUAAUUUAGGUAGAGUUGUUACAAGUAUCCACUCACUACUUUACCAAAUGGGUGCAGGCAGUCCCUCUGAAGACCGUGACGUUGGCCGUCAUGAUUGAAUUCAUAAGCGAGCACAUUAUCUAUUGGUUUGGUAUUCCUCAGACUGUUACGACCGAUCAGAGAACAAUGUUUACUUCAGGAGAGUUUGAGGAGUUCACUUCCGAUAUGGAAAUUAAGUUGUUAAAUUCUUCUCCAUAUUACGUUCAAGCUAAUGGUCAGACCGAAUCGUCCAAUAAAGGGAUAAUCAAGUGUAUCAAGAGGAAGGUAGAGGAGCAACCAAAGAGAUGGCACAUGACUUUAAGCGAGUCUUUGUGGGCCUACAGGAUGGCCUGCCACGGCGCUACUAAGGUGUCUCCUUAUCAAUUAGUGUAUGGAUAUGAGGCGGUGCUCCCUUAGGAAUUGAGGAUGGGGUCUAGACGCACGUCGAUUCAAGAUUAGUUGACAGCCGACGAUUAUUCUCUCCUUAUGAAAGGGGAGCUUGAGGAUUUGGUGGGUCAACGAUUGAGGGCCUUGAUCAGUAUUGAAGAGAAUAAGAAAAGACUUGCCAAGUGGUAUGACAAGAAGGUCAAGGUCAAGCAGUUCUCGCAAGGGGAUUUGGUAUGGAAAUUGGUAUUGCCGAUAGGGUCUAACCAUCCCAAAUACGGCUAGUGGUCGCCUACUUGGGAAGGGUCGUAUAAAUCGAUCGAUAUGUGCCAGGAAAUGCAUACGUAUUAGAGACCAUCGAGGGAGAGGAAUUUACAAGAGCCUUAAAUGGGAGAUAUUUGAAAAGAUACUAUCCCAGCAUAUGAGUGGACGCGUAGCCGAUGAUAUAGUGUAUCGAGUCGUUAUGGCCGAUUCCUAUUGACUCGUGUUUAUAUAGCCGAUGCAGGGAGGCAUCGCCUUGAGGACGAAACCUCUAAUCAAAUUGGCCGAUUAUUAUUCGGUACGGUGAUUGGAUACAUGGCCAACAUGGUACAAGUCGCCCUUAGACCAAAAGUACCAAUACAUCUAUCGGGUUACAAUAUGAUUAACUGCAUUUCAACUGGGCUUUGUUUUUAUUGAUCUCUCUUUGGACCCGGCCUAGUUCUAUUAAGAGACGGGUGCUCUUUUCCUCCCUAUCCGCCAUGGCAUCUUUGAGAGCGACCUGGCAGGGUAGCUGAUGACUCCUCUCAAUUGGCGGCUGAGGUGGCUCCCUGGAGCUGUUGGCUUCGAUGUGAUCCACGAUCUUCUUAAUGUGGGUCGGAAGAUGGUCUUUAAGCUCCUCACGGUGGGCUUUGAUCAGGUCUUGGUCCACCUGCAUCAGUGGUUCCUCAGAGUGCAUAAUUUCGAUAACUCGCUCAAGAUCAGGGCUGAGCCGGGUCGGCUGGACAAACAGCGGGCAAUCAGUUGUCGAAAAGAAUUGGUCAAGGAGCGCAAGGCUGAUCUCAUACCUCAUUGACGGGGGAAGAAGAAGACAUCUUGGCGCCCGGUUAGGGAUCUGAAAAUGGUCGAGCAGAGUGUAGAAGGAUGGAUGAGAUACGAGUGCCUCUGGGAGGAAUGUAGGGACCCCAUAUUUAUAGGAGAAAAGGUAAGGGGCAACGGUUGGCAAAGGCAUCUAUUCAAAGCAGAUGAAUGUUGAGCUAAAAGCUGCGAAGAGGAAACGUUCAAGUCCGUAUUCACACAAUGAUGGCAAAAGGGGCAUUAAAUGUUUGUGCAGAGGUGUUCAAAAGAUAAUUCAAUGUUUUGAUACAUUCAUUCAAGAAGAAUAUUAAUGGCCGCGAUUGCCUACUGGCGGAUCUGAUCCGCUGAAUCUAGAACUCGUUGGACAUCUUCGGCUGAUCCAAGAAUUUCUAGCAUGUUGCGAUGAAGCCGGAUGGCCUCAUGCGCAAGGGUUUGCCUCUCCUGCUUCAGAUCAGCGAUGACGGUCGUGAGAUCAUGAAGAUUAUUCUUUUUGGCGGUUAUAGCCUUUGUCACCUACUCCAUCUCCUUGGCAAUCUCUGCCCUAUGCUAUUUGAGACGGUCUAUUGUGCCGACGAUGUCUGGGCGAGAAUUUUCGAGUACGCCGAUUCGGUGAUGUACCUCUUGAGCUCGGUGUUUGUAGGAAUCCUUCUCUUCACAUGGCUUUGCCAGCUUGGCAUGAACGGCCAUGUGCCGCAGGGCUCUGAACACCGGGAUUUGCAUUGACUCGAUGUAUGUAGGAGGUGCAAGAGCUUUUUCUACAUCCUUCAGGACUCGGCCUUUUAUUUCGCUGAAGAUUUGCCAAAUCGGCGAAGCGUCUUCCACCAAUCGGCCGAUGUCAUCUUGAAGAAGUGCUCGGAUUCUCUGGAGCUUUGCACGUACUUCUUCCGAAAUUGAACCUGGAGCCACUUGUCGAGAGGCUACCUCUUCAUCAUCAGAAACAGCGAUCGCAAAUGAAAAGAGGCUGUUAUUGGGCGUAUCUUGUUCCUAUAAAAGUAAGAGAGGAAGGAACGGAUUAGCCGACAGUAGUGGGAAAUCGGUCGGAUUGGAUGUCGAAGGCCCUUACCUGUUUAAAAUGAAUUUUCUUCUGUUUGUGUUUGGGGGAUUGCUACCCUUGUCUCAGGAAUCAGCAUGGUUGGCUCGUCAGAAGAAGAAGACUCGACGGUGAUCGACGUUGUGUUUGGACCGGCUUCCUGAAAGUAACAAAAGGAGAGUCUCUAUAAGUAUGAAGCAAUAGUUAGAUCUAAGGAUGAGUACCAGUUACUUUACCUCUGUGAGUCGUCCGGCCGAUGACUGUUGGAAAGGUAUGAUUGAUGUACCCAGAGUGGCCUACAUUAGAAAUCGGUCAUUUUUGACUAAGGAAUAAGAGACUUGAGUAAGAUGUAUGUUCUUUACCUCAGCUGCAAGGAUUGCUGGUGGUUCGGUCUCUGCUUGGGAUGCGACCGAUUGCUGUGAGGUUUGCUCCGAAAGAAUUUGCGCAGCCUAACAAAAAGUGGAAAUUAAUACUGAUAGUAUACUUGGAGAAAUGUGAAGCAUAUAAAGUUACCUGAACAUCUUUUACCAAUAAGGAUGCAGCUGCUGAUCCGGCUUCCGUAGCGGCUUGGGGGUCGACCUCCUGGGCGAUCGGCAGAGUUGGUGUGGCUGAAGACUCGGCUGGUGGCACCGCCGAUUGAUCGGCCGGUUCUAUACGGGCGCGCACCCGGCGGCUUGUCUUCUUUGAAGAGGAUAUCUUCAUCUUCUGCUUCAAUCGGCCUGUGAUGAUAUCUUCGAUUGACGGGGACUGAAAGCCGAUGAUUGGAAAUGAAGUAUAUGGGUGGCGAUUCUCUAUCGGCCUGCCACUACAGUUGUGCGUUGGAGAGAGUUGGCUUUCAGACGACAAGAAAUGAGGGAAAUCAGUGGUAAUACUGUAAGAGUACGGUGUCAAAUCGGCCAGAAGGAUUGGUACCUCUGCAUUCGGAUCAAUGUUAGCGGGGUCCAGAUCAUUACAAUAUGUUGUAGGAGAUGUGCAGAAGAGGUGUUGUUUCCACUCACCCCACCAUAGCUUGAAUUGUUGGACAGCGAAGGGGGCCACAACCCAGUUGGCCAAUUCGAUGGUACUGGAAUCCGGCGUCAAGCUGCACAGCUGAUUGUAUUCAAGACCUUUAGAGAGCUCCUCCCGACACUUAACGCGGCCGGCAAAAUAAAUCUUAAUCGGCAUUUGUCUGAGGCCGAAUUGCCGCGCUGCCACUGAUGGGUUGUAGAAUUCAUAGGUUGGGGAGUCUUUUCCUGAGAAGAAGUUUGCUGGUAGGAUCCCAGGCUUGAUCAAAGUAUCCAUAAGCUCAUUAUCGAAGUAAUUGAUGGUUGAAUUGAAGCAGUCGGGGUUUUCAAAGAGUGGCUCAAUUCUCUGAUAUGGGUACCAGCUUGUAGUUUCUUCAUUGAAGCCGAUAUAGAAGCAUCUGAAAUACUCAGUUGUAUUUGUGGGGGUAAACUUGCUGCCAGGAGAAGCUGACGCUACCUCGCCAAGGAAGUGCAACGCCGUCUUAAUGUUGGGUUAUCCUCUGAUUCAAUAUUGGGGAAUGUCUUGGUCUCAACUCGUUCCCUGGAGAUCUUGCUCAUGUAUAAGUUGAGCCAGAUGGUGAUAAACCACCAGGGGCCACCAGAGUUCCCAAUCGGCUCUCCGGAUGACAGCUUGACUGCGAUUUGGUGCAUCAUAUGAUGAGCCAAUCCUAGCAGGUGUUUUCCUAAGGGGAUAGUAGAACCUUUUGCUAGGGCCUCGACCAGAGCCUGUGUAUUGGAGGAGGGGCCAACUGCUUUGCCACAGAAGAAGUGCUUCUCUAACCACAUCAUCAGGAAAGCUGUGUAUUCUCUAUCGCCGAUAGGACCGGUCUUCAUAUUUUUAUCAAUAUAGCAUUUCCACCUGCCGAUUCCCUUUGUUUCCAGGCGAUGGGUUGGUUUGAUCAGGAAAUUGAAGGGCAAGUCGGGGGAAGAGAUGUCAAGACCGGUCAGCAUCAGGACGUCGGCCAAAGUAGGGGUCAUGGGCCCAUGUCCAAAAAGGAAAACAUUGAGAGCGUCAGACCAGAAAUAAGAAGCUGCCAUGACCAAAGGUUCAUUCUUCUCCAUUUGAGACAGAUAUAAGUUUAUGCAUUGGCCGAUUUUUAGUUCAUCCCAAAGAACCCUCUAAGAAUUGGACAUCCUUUGAAACCACUCUUUCCAGCCAAGGGUUUCGUUCGGCCAAGAUCUAAAUGCACCUGUCCACUGGCUUAAAUCCAUUGGUGACUGCUUGAAAGGGAUCAUGUGGGUUUCCAGGUUGAUCAAUUCAGUGGGAUCUAGAUUCCCCAUGGGGCUAAGACCGACGAGGCCGGGUGCGUCAGAAACAGGGAUGGUGAUUUGCUGCCUAAGUUCCUAAAAAGGAUACAAAAGGAGAACUAAGAACAGAUCUAAAAGAUGCGUGAAUGGUGAAAAGUAAAAGUAAAAACUUUGGGAUAUUUACCUCUGGAAUGAAAGCCAUAGUCGCCUAUGGAGCCGCUAUUGGAGUAAACAGAAUAGGAUGGACGGAAGAUGAAGGAGGAAUCACCGUAGGAAUGCAGUUGGAAGAUGAAAGGGUGCCGAAAUGCGAUGGAAGAUGAUUCGCCGGGGAAAAAAGAGUUUCCCAGCUUGUGGAGAAGAAGCGGCGGAGAAUGCAAAUAUUUAAAGAUGGUUCGAGAGAAGGGUAAAGGUGGGAUUUUACCGCGCUGUCUGCACAAAUUUCGGGAAGAGCGGUUGCCUGCGAGCGCCUAGCUCGAAAAUUGUGAUCAUCAGAGAGAAGACCGCAGAACAGAAAGGAGCUUUCGCCGUGCCCGCCUCGGAGGAUGAGUUAGAGUUGAAAAAAAUUUGAAGCAAAAAGUUUCACUCUGAAACUUGGGGGCAUGUGUUGACGCCGGAUUUUGACACGUACUUGAAAUCGGCGUCAAAGAAGGAGAAAGGGGGGCCGAUGCGGCGGACUAGAAGCUACAGUUGGGAAUCGGCCGAUUGAAGCUACAGUGUUUCAGCCGAUUGGUGGAAGAAAUCGGUGGAGGCUGGCCGAUUGAGAGCCAAAGCAGUUUGGCCGGUUUGGGCCUAAGGUGGACCAGGAUGAAGAUUUGCUGAAGAGACAGGCCCGUGGGAAAAUAAUAACCAACUCGAAUAUGAGUCGUGUUUGUAACUAUUUGUUGUCGUUUGAAAUUAGAGAUAGAUUCUAGUCGGUUAUGAAAUCAGUUGCAACAGGCAAUAAUAGCUGCCUCGAGAGGCUUGUAAAAAAAUAACACACAAUCAAUAAAACAAAUUUACUCUUUCCUCGUACUUUACUUUCAAGUCGGCGACUUCGCCAAAACCUUUUUCUUUCACGAGUUCGUACGGAUUGGCAGGGCUGCAUCUACAUGAUCUCCGACCGAUUCUGUAAGUUCCGCUUAUCGAGUAAUAUCUAAGCUUUAACUUCGGGCGCAUCGCUGUUGUUUCAUUUAGAUUUAUUCACUAGUUAUCGAUAUCAACUACAGUCAUAGGUUUUACCUGUUAUUUUAGUUUUUAUCACCAAUUAUCCAGCUUGAGGUACGAGCUAUCGGCUUCUAUUAUUUUUAUCCUUUAUCAUCACAUAGCUGAUUAGAUCUACUCCAAGUGUUGCUUUUGUAGUGUUGUUUAGGUUGCUCUAGAAGUUUUCCUUACGAUUGCUACGUGAGUAUCGGCUGUCUUAUAGCCGGUCAUCUCUAUAGUAAAUCGGCCGAUUCGCUAAUACGCUCUUCAAGACAGAUCGGAACUCUAGCCGAUCGAAACCCCUAAAAUUUAAUAUUCUUCUUUCCUUUGUCAAUCAACAGGUCAGAUUGACUGGCACGCCGCGCGAACCGCACCAGGGCAAUAACCUGAACAGGAGCUAAGCAGAUUCUCCCGGGUCGUGUGUCCGACGCUGAGGGUCAUCGGCCAAUUUUCAGGGCCAACAACAGCUUUUGGGCAAAAGCAUAUAGGACUUUUAGGGGGUGUUUGGCAUGGCUCUAGAGCUGAACUCCGGUAACUCCAGCCAAUUUUCCAGCCAAACACCCUAGCUCCAAAACUCCAUGGAGCUGCAGUGCAAAUGGGAUGGAGUUUUGGCGCACCUCUUUUGUAGCUCCAAAACCACCUAAUAUGAACCUCCUCGUGGAGUUGGUGGGUAAUUAACCAUCAAUGCCACUGAUUAAAAUAAAAAUGAUUCACUUCUAUUUUCUCUCGAGACCCCUCCCCGCGCCGCCCGAGGCCUCCUGAUGCCGCUCUCCUGCGCCGCCGCCUAGCGCCGCCGACAGCUGCUGUCGCCGUCCGUGCCCCGCGUCCUGCGGGCUACCGCCUCGCCAUCCCCAUGAGCCCCCUGCACCGCCGUCAGAGCCGCCAGCCGAGCCGCUGCGGCCGGGUUUCCGCCGUCUUGCCGCCUCUUUCCUCAACUGGAGUGAGCCAUCAGCAGCAGCAGAUUCCCCUCGGCGAGCCACGCCCGUUUCGCCGGUUCCGUUGUCACCCUGCUGCCGGAGUGCCGCCGCCACCGUGAAAACCGCCCGCCCCCCGAUCUCCACCACCACGCUGACCACCUCCGUCCAUGCCCUCCGCCGGUGAGCACACCCGUAGAUUCCCCUCGACCCCCUCUUCCUCUUGCGCCACCUGCCCAAAACACCACCUCGCCGGAGCGCCAGCAAGCUAGCUGGCCAGAGCCCCGGUGAGAGGAGGAAGAAGGAACCUGGCUCUUUUGUGAUUGGGUCCUUGAGGAAAGCUAAAAUCUUUUGCUCUGUUCCUUGCUCCCGGCGAGAGGAGGAAGAAUAGUGGGCUUCUGUGGUGGAGGGCGAGAUCGAACCAGGAGUCAGAAUGUCAAUCUACCCUCAAACUCCUCUUUUCUGGAGUUGGGAACACCCUCCCAACCAAACACCUUCAUCAGACAGCAGGUUGAAAAGAGGCACAUGAGGCUCAGCCGCUUAGGCCCACGGGCAAAAAAAAAAAACUCUUACUUUAUGGCGGAGUAGUUGCUGUUCCAGUGUGCAGGUAAAUUGUCGCAAAUGCCCUCUUGUGGUCGCGUUGCAGUAGCCGAUAAGGCGUCCAAACGUGAGGUGCACACACCUGAUCUGAUCCUCUCAGUGGAAACGGGCCAGGUCCAUGCAACCCAGGACAGGAAGGCUCUAUACCUGGGCCGAACGGUAGCCCAAGAGGCCGACAGUAAGUGAGCUCACGGGUGACGAACGGCCCAGAAGCCGCCCCAAUCCGGCCACCGCCACUGAGCCGGCUCGACUAAACCGGAUCGCCACGCAGCCCGACCGCGCAGGCGUACUUCCCGAACUACCCCCGGAGAUUAUCCAAUCGGACGGCCAAGCGCCACGCACUGCCAAAGAAUUCCCCGAAAUGACCCUACUCUUCCCUUUGCCUCCCUCGCGUGCCGCCGGUUCUGCUCGACCGGACCAGCGGUUCAGGCGCCGAAUAUUCGCCCGCGGAUAUUUCUUGCCCGGUGCGUCAACUCCGCCGCUAUAAAUACCCUCAUAGGGCGGCCGCUAGGGUUUUAGUGCUUCUCUCCCGGCGGCGCCUCCACAUAUCGUCUCUCAGAUCGGGAGGCGAAACCAAGGUGACUGACCUCAUCCCCUUUCUCCUCCCUCCGUCUCUGGUUGCUAUAGCUAUUUCAUCCAUGCGCUGUCCUUAUAGCUGAUUAGUAUUUUUACUAGUGGAGUUCGAGUCGUUUUGGUUCCAUUCAGUAGUGCUUGUGUUGAUUGGAUUGAAUCGGAGGACUCGAAGUGGUUUGUGCUGCUCGAAUCGUAAGUUUGUUGGGCUAAUCUCGAUGGAAUUUAUGUCAAUUCGUUGGUUUAGUGGUCCUUGGCAGUUCUCUCUGUGAUAGGCCCGUCCGAUCUGUAGAGAUGCGGUGGAAUCCUGGUUUACUCAAAACGGUUCUAGAUUCCUCUGUUCUUCCCUUAUUUUUUGUUUCGAUUACUUAGUUUGCACGUUAGGGGCCUAUGAAGUUUAUGUGCUCGGAUCCUUUAGUGAAACUGAUCUGUUUACUCAGAUGUGCUCGGAUCCUUCAGUGAAACUGAUCUGUUUACUCAGAUCUGCUGGUAGCUAACAGGUUCAGGGUAGUUAUGUUGAUGGUCUAGUUUUGGUAGUUUCAUUGUCGAUUUCUGUCCAUUUUUGUCAUGUUCUGUCCAUAAAAAUACUAUCUGUGCUUCUUCAUAUCUUGUAAUAUGAAUUCAUUUGACAAACUAUGCAUUUCUUUUAGAGUGUUUGUCUAAAUUAAUCUUCUGGUAUAUCCCUAUGCCAGUCUGUUAAUAUGUCUGUAUUAUAGUGUUUUGUUUGAGGUGGUAAUGUACAUGGUGCACCCUGCAGUUUUUCAUGUCUAAUAUUGAAUCUCCUUGUUUGCUGUAUGUAUUAAGGAUUAGUUUCACUUCAAAUAGCUUACUGCUGAUGCUUUCUUGUUUGUUUAAUAUGCUGUGUAAUCAUGUUGACCCUGAGGUUUGUAAGAAUUCCUCUUAUUUGAUUAUUGCAUGGAUUAGUGUCCUGAAGGAUAUGGCUCCUUUGUACAAUUAAGAUAAUUCACUUUUUUUUCUCAACUUUUAUAUGCUUACUAGCCCAUUAGGUUGUGUAAACAUUAGAGUGCUUUAGCCUGGUAAAGAUGAGUUAAGCAUUUUAAAUAAAUUUUUGGAUUUGGUUGAUAUCAUCCUUAACACCUGCAUUUAAACAAUUUGUCUCUUUUGAUCCUGACUAUUACAGUGGGUGUUACUUUCUUUAGUCAUUCUGUGGUAUCAAAGUUUCUGGUGUAGUUGUGUAAUUAUGGUUUUGGUUGGAUUCUUACUAGUAUUUUCUACCUUUAAACAGCAGGAAAUUAUAUACAUAUUUGUAGUGUGAUCUUCAUAAGAAGUCAAGAUGGUGAAGUUCACAGCGGAAGAGCUCCGUGCCAUCAUGGACAAAAAGAACAACAUUCGUAAUAUGUCCGUUAUUGCUCAUGUGGACCACGGUAUGUUAAGAACAGUGUUUAAUUAAAUGUUAUGCAUACCUGUUCCUCGACAUUUUUCAGGCUUUUCAAUUUUAGCAAUUGUUUUUUUUCAGUAUUAAAUCUCUGAAUUGUUCUUGCCAGUGAAUGCGAUUCAUGCUGCGUUAGCUAUCACAGACCUAUUUUACAUAUGUAGAAAUAUUCAUUUCAUGUUGGAAAUAGGCUUAUUGUUCUUUUGUAAUUAAUGUAUUGGUUUAUCUCUAGAUAUUGCAGUGUAUAGUAUCUGUUUACUAUGUGUUUUAUAUUGGGAUGUAUUGUUGUCUUUGUUAACUUGUGAGAGGUUGUCUAUCCCUAAUGUUGUACUAUUCUUGAUGCAUCUUCGGACUGACUUUUAAGUUCCACACUAUAGUCUUACAUCUCAUUAAUUCUUUGCAGGCAAGUCUACCCUUACAGAUUCCCUUGUGGCAGCUGCUGGGAUUAUUGCCCAGGAAGUUGCUGGUGAUGUCCGCAUGACUGAUACACGUGCAGAUGAAGCAGAGCGUGGUAUUACAAUCAAAUCCACCGGUAUUUCUCUGUACUAUGAGAUGACUGAUGAGUCACUGAAGAGUUACAAGGGUGAGAGAGAUGGUAACCAGUACUUGAUCAACCUUAUCGACUCACCUGGGCACGUUGAUUUUUCUUCGGAAGUCACAGCUGCCCUUCGUAUCACCGAUGGUGCUCUAGUGGUGGUUGACUGUAUUGAAGGUGUCUGUGUGCAAACUGAAACUGUGCUCCGCCAGGCUCUUGGUGAGAGGAUUAGGCCAGUGCUUACUGUGAACAAGAUGGACAGGUGUUUCCUUGAGCUUCAGGUUGAGGGUGAGGAAGCCUACCAGACUUUCUCCCGUGUCAUUGAGAAUGCCAAUGUCAUUAUGGCAACAUAUGAAGAUAAGCUCCUUGGUGAUGUCCAAGUCUACCCGGAGAAGGGAACUGUUGCUUUCUCUGCUGGUCUGCACGGCUGGGCCUUUACCCUCACCAACUUUGCCAAGAUGUAUGCUUCGAAGUUUGGAGUUGAUGAAACUAAGAUGAUGGAGAGGCUCUGGGGUGAGAACUUCUUUGACCCAGCCACAAAGAAGUGGACCACCAAGAACACAGGCUCUGCUACCUGCAAGAGAGGAUUUGUUCAGUUCUGCUAUGAGCCAAUCAAGCAAAUCAUCAACACCUGCAUGAAUGACCAGAAGGAUAAGUUGUGGCCCAUGCUUCAAAAGCUUAAUGUUACCAUGAAGUCUGAUGAGAAGGAAUUGGUUGGCAAGGCUUUGAUGAAGCGUGUUAUGCAAACUUGGCUUCCAGCUAGUACUGCACUGCUUGAGAUGAUGAUAUUCCACCUUCCUUCCCCAUCAAAGGCACAAAAGUAUCGUGUGGAGAACUUGUACGAGGGACCCCUUGAUGAUAUCUAUGCUACUGCUAUCAGGAACUGUGAUCCGGAGGGUCCUCUUAUGCUGUAUGUUUCUAAGAUGAUUCCAGCAUCUGACAAGGGCAGGUUCUUCGCCUUUGGUCGUGUCUUCUCUGGGAAGGUUGCUACUGGUAUGAAGGUUAGGAUCAUGGGUCCCAACUAUGUCCCUGGCCAGAAGAAGGAUCUGUACGUCAAGAGUGUCCAGCGUAC